AGAGAGAGAAACAGUGAAGUUGAAAAUGUGGAAAAUAUCUUCUUGUCUUUGUUCUAGAGUCUUCUGCAGUAUUUAUAUUUACAAAACAAUAUUACAAGUAAAUGAGAAGUAAUAAAUGUGUAUGAAAACUAUUUGGGCCAAGUCUUAUUAUUAGUUGGGUCGUCCGAAUAAGCAACAUUAUUGUGUGGCCCGGAUAUCCUAACACCCCCAUCAAGCUGGAGGGUGUGAAGACUCCAAGCAUGGGAAGGCAGCAGCGGUGAGCAGGUCCAGGCAGAGAUUUGGUUAAAAUAUCUGCUAACUGAUUUGCACUGACAACAUAGUGAAAAGAAAUUAGGUUAGAAUGAAGGCAGUCACGAACGUAAUGACAAUCAAUUUCAAUAUGCUUCAUGCGUUCAUGAAAAACAGGAUUCUUCAUGAUACUCAAAGCAGCUUGACUAUCGCAAUAUAUAGGAACAAGAUCAGAGACAAUAACACCAAAAUCACAUAGUAGGCGAAUAAGCCAAAUAACCUCAGCGACAAUCUUACGAAGAGCCUGAUACUCAGCCUCAGUAGAUGAGAGUGAAAUGGUAGGCUACUUCUUACUUUUUCAAGAAAUAGGACUACCACCCAGAGUGAUAAAGAAACCAGUAACAAAGCGACGAGUGUCACGACAGGUAGCCCAAUCAGAAUCAGAAUAUCCCAUCAAUGAAAAAUCAGAAGCAUUGGAUAACAAAAUACCCUGUGUCGGAUUGUUCAUGAGAUAACGUAACACAUGAAUGGUAGCUAACAUAUGAGGAACCUAUGGAUGUUGUAAAAAUUGACUUAAGUGUUGGACAGAAAAGAAUAUGUCAGGCCCUGUAUGUUGUAAGAAAUUGAGUUUGCCAACCAAAUGCCUAUAGGAGCUGGGAUCAGUCAAAGAAAAACCCAUGUCUGUAACAAGUUUGCUGGAACAGUCCAAAGGAGUACUCACAGGAGAAAACUGAUAACAAUUAUAUUCAUGAAGUAAGUCAAGAGUAAACUUAUGUUGACUGACAAUAUAACCCUGUGCAUAUUUGAAGACUUUCAAGCCAAGGAAGUAAUGGAUAGCACCAAGAUCCUUGAUUUUAAAUUGACCAUCAAGAAAAAUCUUUAAAUAUUCUAAUCCAGCUAAAUCAUCCGAAUCCAACAAUAUAUCAUCAACAUAAAUAGCCAAUACAAUCUGCGAACUGGAAGGACUUUUUGUAAAUAAUGAAUAAUUAUUCUUACUAGAGGUAUAGCCAUGAGAAAUAAGAUCUGUGGACAGUUUAAAAAACCAUUGACGAGAUGCUUGACGAAGACCAUAAAGAGAUUUCUUAAGGAGGCAUACCAAAGGGACAUCAGAAGAAGAAGUAACUUCAAGACCAAGAGGUAAUUUCAUAUAAACCUCCUCAAGAAGAUCACCAUGAAGAAAAGUAUUAUUAACAUCUAACUGAAACAAUGUCCAUACCUUCUUAGAAGCAAUAGUAAGGAGACAUUUAAUAGUAGUUAGCUUAACUACAGGGGAAAAAGUUUAGUAAAAUCGACUCCCUCCUUUUGAGUAUCACCACGAAUAACCAAAUGAGCUUUAUAUCGCUCAAUGGAUCCAUCAAAUCACUGUUUGAUCUUGUAAACCCAUUUGCAAGAAAUGACUUUCUUAUGAGGAGGGAGUGGGACUAUGUCCCAAGUAUUAUUAGCCUUUAGGGCCUGAAACUCCUUGACCAUAGCUUCCUGCCAAUCCAGAUGGCUAGCAGUCUGAUGGUAAAAUUGUGGUUCAUGAUUGUGAAGCUCAACAUGUGAGAUCUUGAAUGUAGUAGAUUCAAGGAAUGCAUGAUGGGAAGAUGAACAAACAUAAUCUUUAAGAUAAAAAGGUUUAUGACUCUGUCGAGUAGAAUGUCUAGAAGUUAAAAUAUGGGAAGCAACGAUGGGUGAAGUAGAGACAGAAGAAGGAGGAGGAACAGCUAAAAGAGCAGAAUUAGGAGCAAAAACUAGAGAAAAAGGCACUGAAUUAGUAGAACUGGGAGAAAUAAAAGAAUGGGGAGUUGAUGGGGAGUCUUCAGAGAAGGUAGAAUAAGAAAGUGGAAAUAAAAAAGGGGUAGAGGAAGGGUAAGAUAAGAUGUGUUUAUGGAAUACUAUAUCCCGAGAAUAGAAAAUCAAAUCAGUGGACAAAUUCAAUAGUUUGUAACCUUUCUUGCCAAACGGAUACCCCAAAAAUAUAGAAGAAAUUUCCCUUGAUUGAAACUUGUUUCAACUAAUUUUAGGUGAGGUAGCAAAGCACAAACAACGAAAUGAUCUCAAAUGGUCAUAAGAAGGAGGGGACUGAUGUAAUUUCUCAAAAAGUGAUAUAUUAUGUAGUAAAGGAGAAAGAAAUCUGUUAAUCAAGUAUGUGACUGUUAAGACACAGUCACCCCAAUACUUCAAGGGUAACUUAGAUUGAAAAAGUAAGGAUCUUGAAGUUUCAAGAAGAUGCUUAUAUUUUCUUUCCACUACACCAUUUUGUUGAGGCAUAUGCGGAAUGGAAGUUUGAUGCAAUAUACCAUUUUUAGCCAAGUAUUUAGAUGCUUCAUGACUGCCCCCCAACUCAAAAGCAUUAUCGAACUUAAGAAUUUGGAUGUGUGUUUUAAAAUAGAUCUUAACCAUGAAAAUAAAUGCCUUUAAAAUGGAGAAAGUAUUAGCCUUGGAAGAUAGAAGAUGGGUCCAAGUGGCUCUAGUAUAAUCGUCCACUAAGGUAAUAAAAUAUCUAUAAUCAUUGUAAGUGGCAGUAUUAUAGGAGCCCCAAGUGUCAACAUGAACCAAUUAAAAUGGUUUAGUAGAAUAAAUGGAGCUAUCUGGGAAGGACAGUCUUUCUUACCUAGCCAUAGGAAAUAUGGUGCACAAGAAAGAUUAUUUGGAAGACAAUUUACUAGAUAAAUGUGGGAUGGAGUGCAUUCUAUGAAACGACAUGUGGCCAAGUAUUUGAUGCCAAAACAAAUCAUUUUUAUUAAUAGAAGAUGGCAAAUUACAAGGGGUAAUAGAAAAAACAGUAUCAAAAUUAGAAGUAUUACAAGUAAAGGAACUAGCAGAAUUAGGUAAAGGUACAGUAAUAGACUCAGAUGGAAAAAUAUUAGCAGGAGCAGAUGUAGUAACAGAAAUAGUAGGCGGGAGUGAUGAUGUUUCAGCGGAGGGAUCUAGAGAUGUAUUUGGGGAGGAUAAGUUCUCUUGGCUGAGGAAAUAUAAACCUCUUGCAGCUUUACCAAAUUCCAAUGGCCUCUUCAGAGAAGGGGCCUGUAAGAAAUAAUUUAUUUUGGUAAAGAUUAUAUAACAGUCAAAUUGAUCAAUGAGUUGAAAGAUGGAAAUUAAAUUGAAUUGAAAUGAAGGAAUAAGUAACACAUUAUGUAGAAUCAUAUCAGACCUAAGAAAUAAAGAACCAGUGGAGAUAACCCUAACUUGUAUCCAUUGGGAAGAGUAAUAAGAAAAGAAAUGGGAAUUGGUUGAAGAUUAUGUAGUAAAUGUUUGUGAGGAGUCAUGUGGUUAGUUUCUCCAGAAUCUAAAAUCCAAGAAUGCAUACCUAAUUAGGAACUCGCACACAUAUGAAAACCAACAGAAUUUUCCACAGGGCUACUAAAAACACUAUUAAUACAUACCUGCAAAAUUUGCAAAACCAAAAAAUUUUACAUCUGGUUGUUCAGACAAGUGAUUAUGUUCGAAUGAAGCUAUCAGUUGUGGAUAAGUAUCACUGUGAGACCCAUAAGAAGGAAGAAUAUGGGAGGAAGAGUUGUUCUUUGUAGAAUUAGAAGAAGACAGAUCAGUUUGCACACAUGCUGCAGAUUUCGUACCUUUGUUGAACUGAUAAUCUGCAGGGUAACUAUGUAGUUUGUGACAUUUGCUCAUGAUAUGUCCUAAGUUUUUGCAAUAUCUACAAAUCAAGGUAUUGGUGGGUGGCUGCUUGGACUCAAAAUUAAUCCUUUGGGGAUAAGUCCUACCACCUCCAUGAGACAUAGGGAGAAAAUGCCCGGGAGGUGAAUAUGAAGGCCCAGAAGAAUCAUAAUAAAUCCCUUUCUGAGAAUAAGGCCUUUCUUAAAACUCAAAAUAGACCCUGAAAGAGUAAUAUUUACCAACAUUUUGAGAAGUUCCCUGAGAUUCUCUUAAAGUUGUCAUUAUAUCUAGAUGAGGCAUAGAAGAACAUGGAUUCAGUGAUUAGAUUAGAAGGAAUGGAAUUUUGCUUUUGCUUUUCAUCAUGAUGAACCAUGGAAUAAGCCUUACUAAGGCUGGGAAGUAGAUUCAUCAUGAGAAUGUUACUUUUGCAAGUAGAGUAGGGUUCAUUUAAUCCACUAAGAAACUGGAACAAUUUUUGUUCCUCAAGAAAUUUGGGUAAAGCACCACAGGUGCAAGUGGGACCUACAUAUGUUGUGUUUAGCUCAUCCCAAAGUCCCCUAAGUUAUGUAAAAUACGUAGCUAUAUCUGAAGAACCCUGAGUGGUGGAAACUAGUUCACGUUGAAUUUGAAUAUAUUUGGACCCAUUAGAUUGUCCAAAUCGUUCAUUUAGAUCCUCCCAAAUCUCUUGUGCAGUAUUAAAAUCAAUAACACUCAUAGCAACAUUCCUAGAUAAUGAGUUAGUUAUCCAAGCUAUAACCAUAUCAUUACAUCUUUCCCAAUAUUGAUAGUAAGGAGACUCAGGUACAGGCCUAGGAUUUCUACCAGUGAUAAGGCCUAGUUUAUUCUUAGCUGAAAGUGAAAUCAACAUACUUUUCCGCCAGCUAACAAAAUCAGUUCCAUCAAAUGGUGAAACAGUAAGUUGGAUACCAGGACUGUCAGCUAAAUGUAUAUAAAACGGAUGACAUUGAUAAAUAGUGAAGGGAGUAAACCCUUCAGUAGAGGUAGGAGCAUUAUGAACAAAAAUAGACGAAUUGCCACUCAUAAUUCCAUAAGGAAUUCAAUAAAUCAGUAGAUUUGAGACCUAUGUUAGCGAAGGAAAGGUGUUACCGUUCUUCUUCCAAAACCUGAAGAAGACUAGGUCUUGCUCAACAAUGGGAUCCGUCAAAUUCCCCUCGAGAACGACACGAAUCGCAAGAAUAUUAAUUCGCCGCAACAAAUACAACAAGUGUAUGUCAAAUUCCCCUCGAGAGCGGCACAAAUCACACUAUUACUGGUUCUCCGCAAAAAAUACAACCACCACAACAACAUAAAGAAAAUAGUCCAACUAAUCCAUCAUUGUAUACAACCGCCAAAAGAAACUCUAGCGAAGUGAAAUUCCAGCGAUGUGAAAUGAAAAUUUCAACUCAAAUCCUCAAAAAAAUCAAUGAUAGAGGAGAGGAAAUGAUUGGAGGGUAAUACCGAUCGAAAGAGAAGAUGAAAUCGAGUUAAACACCUACUUUGAUACCAUGUUAAUCAAUAAAAUCAUCCGAAAUCGAACAAGAUAAAGAAGAUGAUAACCGAACUAGAGAGAGAAACAACGAAAUUGAAAAUGUGGAAAAUAUCUUCUUGUCUUUGUUCUAGAGUCUUCUGCAAUAUUUAUAUUUACAACAACAAUAUUACAAGCAAAUGAGAAGUAAUAAAUGUGUGUGAAAACUAUUUGGGCCGGGUCUUAUUAUUAGUUGGGUCGUCCGGAUAAGCAACAUUAUUGUGUGGCCCGGAUAUCCUAACAAUAAAUGAAGGCAAUAUACUUUUAAAAAACCUCAAAAUUAAUAUUUUUUAAGAAGCAUGUAAAAGAAAAAUAUGACAGAUAAUUUGAAACUGAAGAAGUUGGUGAUUAUUUGAGUAUGUUACACUUGUGAAUAAAUCAACUUUUUGAAGACAAAUACUUUCUUGUAAGUACUGUUUCGCCGUUGAUGUAGGUCGAAAAUAAUUGUAUCACGAAAAAAUAUGGUUUUCAUUAACCAAUUAGUUGUAUAUUUUAUGCUUUCACCUUUCAAAUGGUUAAGAGAUUUCUUGUAUUAGGGUUUUGUUUUGUUGACAUCAUUUUCCCCUAAGAAUGCCUUGCUUUAUUGGUUCACAAAAGCAAAAUAAAUUUGUGUAUCACCACUCAAAUCUAUGGCAUUGUUCUAAGUCUAUGAUAUGUAUCUUUGCUUUGUCCUGAUUGACAAUACAAAUUGUUAGUUGGACUACAUCAUUGAUGAAUCUAAAAAAUAUGCAUACUAUGAGAACUUGUGAUGUAUAUACCUUAUAAAGCCCUCUACCCUGUCCUCAUUUGUCUUACGAUCGUACCAAGGAGGCGUCCAUCUCUAGUUCCAUAUAUGUCACUUCCAAUAUAGCUAGCUAUGGCACAUAUUGUCUAUAAUAUGGUUCAACUGAUAUCACAAAUUUAUCUCUUCCACUUAUAAGUCAUUAUUGAAUUCAAAACUGUGUGUAUCAUGUGAACUUAGCUUGUAUGAUCAUGUCUAACAAAGUCCUUCAUAUUCUCUCCUAUAUUUUGAUCUGGGAUAAUACCUAAAGGAAUCAUGUUCCCUUCUUCAGAAGCUUGCUAGCCUAGAAGUUUAUCAAUCAUUGUGACUCAUGCAUCUUUUAUUACGAGUGUUAUGUUAUAGCGCUUAAUUGUGAGAAAUGUUAUAUUAUUAUGUCGUCUAAAAAAUAACUACAUGUGACCUUGAGAUUAAUAACUUGAAAAUCAGGAAGAGGUUGUGUGCUCUAUUGAUAAUGUAAAAUUUUUUUACAUGGAUUAAAUUCAUUUCGAACUUAUAGGAAAGCUAGUGGAAUAUUAUACUAAUUUUCUACACACGUGUGUAGUUAUUUUAACUAAAGAUAAAGUGUGCCUUAUUUCUUUUCACUUAAGAAAUUGUCAAAUCGUUACAGAAAGAUAAAGCAAAAUAUAGUAAUAUUGAGUAUGAUUUUAACAAAUCCAUUUCUUGUAUUCACGACGAUCUUCAUAUAUAAACAAUAAUAUUAGGAAAUACGAAAGCAACGUUAAAAGCUACUCAGAUAGUGUAAAUAUUUUUGACAUUAUAAAUGUAGUUUCAUUUUCACAUACUAUAGCAGCAGAGAUUAUUAUAGUUAUUAUCUUUAUCACGUUAUUAAUUAAUACUUAUUGUAUAGAUUUAAUAUAAUUUGUAACGAUCAAAUUAAAUCCAUGACACAUAAAUUGUCCAAUUUGGCCAAACAAAUUUCACAGAUUUGUUCCCUUGGCUUACGUCAUGAUCGAGUUGUAAAGCAACUAGUUAUGUGAAUUUGUGAUAUACGUCUUAUAAAUCUAUUACUUUCUUUUCAUUCCAAUGUGAUUCACUUAAAUAACAUGUGCACCCCUUCUUCAAAUACUUGCCAACCUAUGUUAGAAUUAGGGUUAGAAGAGUUACCCAUAAAUUAUUAAAUUAAUUAUGCGAAGACCAUUUAAAAAUAGAGAAGCUUUUAGAAAAAUUAAAGAAUCUUUAAUUAGUAAUUAUACAGAAUAUAUAAGUCUAAAUAAAACAAAAGAAAACCCACAAAAAUUAGCCUACUUAAUUACAUUAAUAUCUAGUAUUGAAUCAAAAUUAAUAACACAUUUAAAAUCUAGAAGAAUGAAACACAUACCACCUAAUUAUGAUAAAAUUAGAUUUAGGUAUCCACCAAGAUAUUAUAAAUAUAAUUUAAGAUGAAUAAAGUGCAACAAUAUAAAGAAUUAAAACAAAUUAUCUCUGAAAAACGUAAAGAAUUAAAAAUAAGAAUAAAAAGACUACAUUAUAAUAUAUUUGCCGGAGUUAGUAAAAAUUCAAUAAAUACACAAAAAGAUGAAAUAUCAAAAUUAGAAUCACAAAUAGAUAGUUUAGAAUAUGUAUAUCAACAUGACCUAUUCACAAUAAAAUGAAUAAAGAAGAAUUUAUAAUAGAUGAAAAAAUAUAUGAAAACUACGAAGGAUCAAAAAUAAAAAUAGUAUUUUCUAAUCUAGGACGAAGAUAUAAGAAAAUAGGUGAACAUUUAUAUCUAAUGUUAGAAAAAGAAGAAUUAAAAUUAGAAGAUAAAUUAACAGCAAUGGUAAGAAUAGAAAAAGAAAAUGAAGAGAUAGAUAGGAAAAAAGAAAUAGAAAAAAUAAAACAACAAACUACGGAAGAAAUACGAAAAAUAGAAGAAACCAAAAAUAGUAGAAUUGCUGAAUUAGAAAAAGAAUUACAAAUGUUAAAAGAACUGUAUGAACAAAGACAAAAAGAAAAAGAAGAAAAAGAUAGAGAACAGAAAUUACUAAAUGAGAUAAAUCAAUUUAAGGAAAAAUUAGAAAUAAAAAACGAAGAAUUAGAAAUAAAUAAUAUAGAUAUUGAAGAGACAGAUAAUUAUGAGUCCGAAGAUAGUGAAACAUACACAGAAAUAUUAACAAAUACAAAAAAUUUAGAAAUCAAUGAAGAACAAAAAAUUAAUGAGGAAAACUUAGAAAAUACCCACACAGAAAUAAAUACUCUUGAUAAAAAAGAAAAUGAAAAUAUAAUACCUAAAACAACAGAAAUAAGAAAACCCAUAUAUUAUAAGAAUAAGUUUAAAAAAUAUAAUGAAUAUGAUAAAUGGAUACCAAAACAAAUAGUGAAUAAAAAUUAUAACUUUUUAGAUCUAGACUGUGUAAUAGAUACAGAAAAAACAAUACAAUUAUGGAUAGGAUAUAUGACAAAACAAUUAUUAGAUAAUAAUAUAAAUAUAACAGAUGCACCGGAAUAUAUAGAAAAAACACUAAUAGGAUCAGUAAAACUAUGGUUUGCAAAUCUAACCGAAAAUAGCAAAAAAGUAUUAAGAACUAAUAAACCUAUAGAAGGAACAUCAUCGACAACAACUAAACUAACACCUAUAGAAUUAUUAAAAAAAUAUGAAACAGCUAUAAAAGAUGAAUUUGGUAGUACGACAACAAUCGAAGAAGAACAAAAUGAAGAAAAAGAUACAAAUAGAAAUUUAAUGUUAAAAUUAGCAAUAUGUAAUAUGUGUUAUAUAGAUGAAUAUACUUGCGCAUUUAAAGAAUAUUAUUACAAAGGAGCAUAUAGUAUAGAAGAAAGUAAAGAAAUAAGAAAAUUAUAUUUUAAUAAAUUACCCGAGCCAUUUAGUUCGAAAAUAAUAAAAAGUUGGGAAGAAGCAAAAAUAGUAGAUACGUUAGGAGCAAGAAUAAAAUAUUUACAACAAUGGUAUAGAAACUUAUGUGAAAAAUAUAGAGAAGAAUUAAAAAUGGAAAAAACAUUAAUAAGAAAUUUAGCUUGUUGCAAAAAUAAAAUAGCACCCCAAUUUGGAUGCGAAGAAAGAUAUUAUAAGAAAAGAAAAAGACAUAAGAAAUAUAAGAAAUAUAAAAAAUCAAAAUAUAAAUAUAAAAAACCAAGAAAAAGAUACUAUGUAAAAAAUUAUAAACAUAAAAGACCAUAUAGAAAAAAGAAAUCUAUAAAAGAAUGUACUUGUUAUAAUUGUGGAAAGUUAGGACAUUUAGCUAGAGAUUGUAAAUUACCUAAAAAUCCAAAAAAUAAACAAAUAUCAGAAAUAAAAAUAGAAAAUACCGAAUACAUGCAGAUAGAUUAUAUAGAUUAUGAAUUAGAAAGUGAAGAUAGUAUAUAUGAAAUUUCAGAAAACGAAACAGAUAAUGAAAUAGAUAGCGAAAUAGAUGAAUCAAAUGACUGAAGAAGAUAUAAAAAUAAUAACAAAGGAAGAAUAUUUAAAUGAUGAAGGAACGGAACAAAAAAUAAUAUUUGACAGUAAUAUAUUUGAUGAAAUAAAAGGAAAAGAAUUAGAUUUAAGUGUAGACAAAAUAUUUAAAAUACCAACAAUAAAAAAUAUUUUUACUAGGAAAAAAGAUGAAUAUUAUGUAGUAUGCCAAAAAGAACAUGUAAUAGAUUGCAGAUAUGCAAAAGGAAAAGCUAGUAUACCACUAGUAACAAAAAGAAUAAUUAAUAAAGAAAUAAAUGAUAUAAAAAGUAAAGGAGAUCCAAUAAAAUAUGUACACCUUGGAGGUACAGAGAUAUUAAUAAAAGCAUGUUUUAGAGAAGGAAUAGAUACACCAAUAGAAUUAUAUUUAGCAGACGAUAGAAUUAUAAAACCUAUAGAAAAAAGCAUAAUAACUGCCGUAAAAGGAAAUCUAAUAUACCAAAAAUUUAAAUUUAUAAUAAGUGCAAAUUAUUCAGUAGCAGUAACAGAUAGGAAUAUAGAUAAAUCAUUAGUAUUAUAUUGGAAAAUAUCAGGAAUAGAGUUAACCCCAGGAAGUAAAAUAUUUACAGCAAGAUGUAAAAAUCUAUAUGUAUUAACAACAAAACAUAAAAUAACAGGAAAAAAUAAGAUUAACAAAAUACAAAUAGAAAGCCCAUUCGAACAAAUAGUAAAAACAAUAGAUUAUAAUGAUUAUACCUAUAGAGACAUAGAUACAGAAGAAAAUUUAGAAAUAGUAAAUGAUAGAAUAAGUACAACGAAAAGAAUAGCUAAUGAAAAGCCAGAAUCAUCAAGCUCAUCAAAAAGAACAAGUUAUGAAACAAAUUCAAUAAGUAAUUUAAACCAAUAUUACAUAACGGGAAAAAUAAAUGAAAAAGAAUAUUUAAUACUUUUGAAUACAGGACAAGAAGAAAAUCAUAUAGCAAAAUAUCUAGUAAAAAAUGAAGAAAUAAAAACUGACAAUGAUAUAUGCCCAGAUCUACCAAGAAGUUUAAUAAAUAAUAAAAAUAUAGCAGAAAAAGAAAUAAUGUUAGGAGUUAGAAAAAUAAAAAUAGAAUUCGAAGUAAAGGAAGAAAUGCAAAAAGCAGAUAUAAUAUUAGGAAUAAAAUGGUUAGAACAAGUAAAACCAUAUAAUAUAGAACAUACACAAUUAACCUUAACAUAUAACCAAGAAAAGUUAUUCUUAAAAAGAGCCUUAACAUGAAAUGAAGAUACAUGUAUUAAUGAAGAUAGUAGUAGAAGGAUAUUACAGUAGAUAUUAUACGCCUAUGAUAGAUACAGGAGCAGAAGCUAAUUUAUGUAGAUAUAAUUGCUUACCAGAAAGCAAAUGGGAUAAACUAAAAACACCAAUAAUAGUUAAAGGAUUUAAUAAUGAAGGAAGCUUAAUUACUUAUAAAGCUAGGAAUGUAAAAAUACAAGUAUGGGAUAAGAUAUUAACAAUAGAAGAAAUUUAUAAUUAUGAAUUAACAUCAAAAGAUAUACUUUUAGGAAUGCCAUUUUUAGAUAAAUUAUACCCACAUAUAAUAACCAAAACAGACUGGUGGUUUACAACACCAUGCAAACAAAAAGUAAGAGCAAAAAGAGUUAAUAAUAAAAUAAGAAAGAAAACUGAUUGGAUAAAAGGAAGUGAAAAAAUUACACAAAAGUUAGAAAAUAUAAACAAUACUGAAGAUACAGUAGAACUAGUAGUAUUUUCGAUAAAUAAAACAGAAAUAACUAUAUUUUCAAUAAAUAAAAUAGAAAUAAUUCAGAAAAAAUUAGAACAAUUAUAUAGUGAAGAUCCAUUAAAAGGAUGGGAAAAACACAAAACUACUAUAAAAAUUGAAUUAAUAGAUAAGAAUAGCAUAAUAACACAAAAACCAUUAACAUAUAAUUUUGAUGAUUUAAAAGAAUUUAAAAUGCACAUAGAUGAAUUAUUAGAAAAACAAUAUAUACAAAAAAGUAAUAGUAAACAUAAUAGUCCAGCAUUUAUAGUAAAUAAACAUAGUGAACAAAAAAGAGGAAAAAGUAGGAUGGUUAUUGACUAUAGAAAUUUAAAUGCAAAAACUAUAACAUAUAAUUAUCCGAUACCAAAUAAGAUAUUAAAAAUAAGACAAAUCCAAGGAUAUAAUUAUUUUAGCAAAUUUGAUUGUAAAUCAGGAUUUUACCACCUAAAGCUAGAAGAAGAAUCUAAAGAAUUAACCGCAUUUACGGUACCACAAGGAUUUUAUGAAUGGAACGUGUUACCAUUUGGAUAUAAAAAUGCACCAGGUAGAUAUCAACAUUUUAUGGAUAAUUAUUUUAAACAAUUAUCUAAUUGUAUAGUAUACAUAGAUGAUAUAUUAUUAUACACCAAAACCAAAGAAGAACAUUUAAAAUUAUUAGAACAAUUCACAGAUAUAAUAGAAAAAUCAGGAAUAAGUCUAAGCAAAAAGAAAGCUGAAAUUAUGAAAAACCAGAUAGAAUUUUUAGGAAUACAAAUAGAUAAAAGUGGAGUAAAAAUGCAACAACAUAUAGUACAAAAAAUAAUAAAUUCGAAAGAAGAAUUAGAUACAAAAAAGAAAUUACAAUCAUUUUUAGGAUUAGUAAACCAAGUAAGAGAAUAUAUUCCAAAAUUAGCAGAAACCUUAAAACCACUGCAGAAAAAAUUAAAAAAGGAUAUAGAAUAUAAUUAUGAUGAAAAAGAUAAAAAACAAGUUCAAAAAAUAAAAUUACUUUGUAGAGAAUUACCAAAAUUGCAAUUUCCAGAUGAAAAUAGAAAAUUUAUAUAUAUAGUAGAAGCAGAUGCAAGUGAAUAUAGUUACGGAGGAGUACUUAAAUAUCGAUAUGAAGCAGAAAAAAUAGAACACCAUUGUAGAUACUACUCAGGUACGUUCAACGAGACAGAAAUAAAAUGGGAAAUAAAUAGGAAAGAAUUAUGUUCAUUAUAUAAAUGUUUAUUAGCAUUUGAGCCAUAUAUUGUAUAUAACAAAUUUAUUGUACGAACAGAUAAUACACAGGUACGCUGGUGGUUAACAAAGAAAAUACAAAAUUCAGUUACAACAAAAGAGAUUCGAAGACUAGUUUUAAAUAUAUUAAAUUUCACAUUUACAAUUGAAGUGAUCAGUACUAACAAAAAUGUUAUUGCAGAUUACAUAUCAAGACAAAGCUACACAGACUGAAAUAGUAGAGGAAGAUACUCUAGAAAAAAUACUUAACACCCUAACUACGCUUUCAAUGAAAGUGGACAGUAUGGGUAAUGAGAUAGAAAAGCUAAAGACUAAUGAAGAUAAACUGAAGUCUAUAGCUACAAAUCAGCUAACUCAGCAGUGUGCAGAGCUAUGUCGACCGGAAGACAUUAAAAAUCCAGAGCUAGAAGGAGACGUUGGGACACUCCAUAAAACCCAUAACAUUUAUCAAUCUACUUCUGCAGGUACAAGCAAAGGAGUUAAUAGACCAAGAUACCAGAAUGUAAAUAUGAACAAAAUAUUUGAAAAACCAUUUACCCCAAAAGCACAAAAAGACCAUUUAUUCAUACCCCCACAAGUUAACACAUACCGAGACAGCCUAAACCAAGACAAGAAAAUAUACAACUACACAGCCCAAAAAUACAUAGAAAAUAUAUAUAGAGUCCAAACCUUUCUAAACCAUAACCCCAGAGCUACAAAUAUCCAAGAACCAAAUACCAAUUAUAUAACCCAAAAACUACAAGGAUACAAUAAACUGAUAGCACUACCCAAAACUAACCCAAGCCUAGUUAAAACCUGUUUUGACUAUGGACUACUAAAUACCAUAUACACCCAAGACGGAGAAGAGCUAACAGCUAUGGAGGAAUUAUACAAGAUAUUCACUACCUACAAAAGAAUAAAAAAAGGAAAUUUAUUUUAUAUAAAGUGUUAUACUGCACCAGCAGAGAUAUUAUAUGAUGAAAUAAAACCAGUGAUACAGGUUGUAAAGAUAGGACUGACAAGAGAUAUGAUUAUACCAGAAGAUAUUUCGCAACAACCAGAGAUACCUAGAAUCGAGAUACCAGAUUUUUAUGCAAAUAAAAGACUUAUUGGACUAGCUACGAUCAUACAAGAACUAGCAAAUAACUACGCUAACGGAAAUCCAAUAUGGAGCUACUAUUCAAGAGAUCACCAAAUGAUAUAUUCAAAUUCGAAAGAACUAAGACAAGCAGAUAUGGAAGACGUAAGACAAUGGAUACUGACGCUACUUAACCCAGAAAAACAAUCUACCGCGCGAGCAAUAAGAAAAGGAUUUAUUUCAGACGGACUGCUAACCAGAUACUGUAAGAUAAUCGGACAUAAAUAUCCAGACCACCAAUGUUCGAGGUGCAAUGGAGAAGAUAAUAUUAUUCCAGAGGUACACCUAGAAUAAAGAAGAUAAAAUACCAGCUGGAAGGAUAAGAUAAAGAGCAAUAAUGGAGCAGAUACAGAAGCAAUAAUGGAGCAGAUACAGAACAAUAAUGGAGCAAAUACGACAAAAACCAACGGAGACAAGAUACUGUACAGAAGCAGAAUUAUUAUACNNNNNNNNNNNNNNNNNNNNNNNNNNNNNNNNNNNNNNNNNNNNNNNAGAAAAUUGAAUGUAAAGCUUUACGUGUAAAGUAACUUAGGAAUUUAGGAUAGGUUAGGUGGGAUAGACCCCACUUCUUUAAUUUUCAUUACUCUUUAGACAAAAACAGAGAUGUAAAUUUGUAAGUUCGUUCUAUAAAUACAAAGGACGAAGGUAUUGCGGAAGGCAGGCCGCAAGCCGAAAGCCUUCUUUUGAAACAAACCUUUCUCUCUCCCUUCACAAAAAUUACUCAGGUAAUUAGAUAAAUAUACUCCAAUGGAAAAAGCUAUGGAACAACGAAACUCAGAAAUAUCAAAGCUACCCGAACAGGUAUAUCUAUUUAUGAUUAUGAAUAGCUAAUUUCAUAAUUCCCAACAAUCAUGAUAUGAUAAAAUAAUUCAUAUUAGUUACUUUAUAGUAGAAUUAUUCGAAGAAUAAUAUGUUAAGAAGUUUAUUAACAAAGAGGAAACGGAGAAAUAUCCCUAAGGACUAUGCCAUCCUAAAGGUGAAACCAUUGAGGCAAGAAGCCGUGGCGGGGAGUAACCAGAGUAGAGGCGCUGUUUAAGGGAAAAAGUAUCCGGAUUACCAUGUUAAUAGUGACGGAAGAACAUAUUAUUUAAGAAUAAUCUAGUAUAUAGUAAGUUAAGAUGACCAUAUUUUGUUAUGUACAUGGUUGAAGGGAAUAUUUUGAAAAAAGCAAUUUUAUGAAAAUGAAUGAUUAUUUAUCUGAUGUGAUGGUAGAUAAAUUCAAAAUACUUAUUUUGUAUGCACUUAGAAAUAUAAAAGUAGUAGAUAUAAGAAAAAUCAUAUUAGAAAAAGCUUUUGGUAAAUAUUACAUGACUAGAGUAAAUUAUAUACCAUAUCUACCUAACUACUCUUACAAAUACUUACGAUGAUAAGUUACAUAGAAUUUUUAGAAAAAGAUAUAAGAAACAUACAGUUACUAGAAAAACAGAUAAAAAUAAAUAUAGACAAAUACAUGGAAAAUAAAGAUAUAAAAUACAUAGAAUUUCUUAAUAAAAAUAUGCAAAAACUACUAAGGCUAAAACAAACAACUACAAAAUAUUAUAAUAAAACCAAUUUUAAAAGAUAGAUCAUUUAGAUUAUCUUAAAGUUUUAAUCUUAUAUAUACUUAAAAACAUAGAAAUUAUAGAUAUUAAGAAAAUAAUAUUAGAUAAAGUAAUAGACUACGAAAUUGAAACUACAAAUUGUCUAGAACAGUUAUACGAAGAAAUUUACCCAGAAGGAUAUUAUUCAGAUUAAAAAAUGUUAGAAUAUAUUAGACAAACUAGAGAAAAUCAAGAAAAUCUAAAUAAUGAAAUUAAUUAUAGAAACCGAAUUAGAAAAAUAAUGGAAAAUCUAAAAGAAAAAUUAAUAUGGAUAGAAAAAACCUUAGAAAAUUUAGAUAAAAGUACAUGUGAUAGUCUAUAUAGUUUAAAAAACUCACUACGAGAAGAACAACACAAGAUAAUAAAUAACAUUGAAAAUCUAGAAUUAGAUAUACAUUAUAGCACAGAUAGGAUAAAUUAUUAUACAGAAAUUUGUAACUCUGCAAUUACUACAGGAUAAAAUAAUUAAUGAAUAUAUCUUACGAAAAAAGUAAAUCAUUAAAAGAUAUUGAAACAAAAUUUAAGAAAUAUCCACGCACUAAUAAAAAUAGAUUCACUAGAAACCUAAUGAAUCUAUUAUAUCUAUUAAAUCCGCGCACCCGUCAUUAGUCCACCCUCCAUCAUAAGUGUUGUAUACUUGCAAUAUAAAUCACGACCCUAUAUAUAUAUAUAUAUGUGUGUGUGUGUGUGUGUGUGUGUGUGUGUGUGUGUGUUUUGCACGUGUAACUUGCAUCAAUAAAUAAAACUAUAUGUAAAAAAAUAAAAUAAUUAAAAAUAGCAAUGAUGCUAAUAUAAAUUUAUAUAUAUUCAAAUGAUGUAAAUAAAUAUUGUAUAUCAAAUAUGUCAUUAUUAAAGAUCAUGCUUCAUACAAAUUAAGUAUUCAUUUUGUAUAAUUCAUAUAAAAUUUUUAAAGCGAUUAACUGGAAGAAAUAAAGAAAGAAUGAAAAGAUGAUAAAUAAAUGUCAGAAGAUAAAUAAACGUAGAUAGAGUGCAAAAAUAAAUCAUAUAUGAUGUAAUGAAAAAUUGUAAAAUAACUCACCAUAAAAUAAAAAAGAGAAAGAGACUAUUAAUUAUUCAAUUCUUUCAAAUAAAGUAGGAAUACAUGCAAAAACAACUGAUUUUAAUAUUUUUUCGUUAUCUUUAGGUCUAAACCCUUAGAAAAGGUUUAUAGAUAAAUUCACCAACCAAAAAAUUUAUCCCUUGUAUCAUACCUAUUCGGCUAUUCCUAUGCCCAUAUUAGACGUUUUCUUUUUUAAAACAAAAAAAAAAAAAUCUUUGACAAUUCUUACACUAAUUAAGAAUACUUGUUCUAUUAUUUUAUUUUUUUAGCCACGUCUAUUUUUCUUCUUUUUUUUUUUUUUUGAAAAAAGAAAUUGAGCCAAUUUAAGCUACACCAAGACUACUUAUUGUUCUAUUGUGUUAUAUUUUAUCAUGAUAGUUUGACUCCUAUUUAACACAUUUAUUCUUUUUUUUGUUGUUUUUAUGCAAUUAUAGAAAUCUUUUAUAUAAGGUAAAAUUCUUAUUAAUUCAGAAGUAUUAAAAUUAAGAUUUCUUACUUACAUCAAAUAAGAAUGUUAAUUAAUUUUUAAGUCCUAAAUCUAAAGAUAAUAAUUAAAUGAUACAUAUUUUUUUUUAAAAUAGUGUAUGACUAUUUUGUUAUUGUAAAAACUUUUAUUAAAGGAUAAAAUUAACAGAAAAAUUGUUAGAAAUCAGCAAUUAACAAUAAAAUAAAUUUUAUAUCAUUUAAAUGAUAUAAUGUGUAACCCAAAAAAAGAGAAUCAUUACAAUCUAUUAUUUAAAAUAAAAAUGAUUUACCAGAUCUCAUAAUUUAUUCACAAUUGAAACAGUUACAUAUAAUUAAAUUUUGGAAGAGAAGUCAUAUAAAAUUAGAAUGACUAAUCAAUUUUUCGUGAUGAAAUGUAAUAAUUCAAUGAAUCCGAUAAAAAUUAUAAAUUAGUCAAUUUAAAAUUAUUAAUUACUUAUGUCAUUAUAAACAAAAAUCACAACAAAAAACUUCUCAAUUAGCAAUUAUCUAUCAAGAAUACAUGAUAACUUACUAUUUUCAACUUCAAGAACAUACUAAAUCAUAAAAGAAAAAUUUUCAAUUAGCAAUUGUCUAUCAAAAUACAAGAUAAUUUAUUCUUGUAAAUAUAAAAACAUAUUAAAAUAUAAAAACAUAUUACUUACUUCAAAGCACAAGCAAAUUUAUCUCUUCAAUAGAUCAUACUAUCAAUAUUUUACAAAAAAAAAAUCUCAAUGAGCAAUUGUCUAUCAAAAAUACGUUAAAUUUAUUUUGUUGUAAGCUUCAAAACAUACUAAAAUUCUAGAAAACUUACUUUGAAUGAUAAUCAAAUUUAUCUAUUUAAUCAUAGAUACUAUCAAGAUUUUGACAUCAAGAACAUAUUGACAUUUUAAAAAACUUACCUCAAAUCACAAGCAAUUUGUUUCUUCAAUUAUAAGAUAUAUCAAAAAUUCCCACAAAAUAAAGUGUUUCUCAAUGGGCAGUUGUCUAUCAAGAAUACAUGAUAAUUUAUUUUAUAAAUUCUCAGGACAUAUUAAAAUUUAGAAAACUUGCCUCUAAUCGCAAGCAAAUUUAUCUCUUUAAUAACAUUUAAUAUCAAGAAUGUAAAUAUGAAGAACAUGUUGGGAAAGACAGGGGUACUAUGAAAGAGCCCGGCAGGGUAGCAACGGAAGAAUACCCAAGUCUAAACUUUCCCUUCCAAUUUGAACUAAGAGGAAACAAGAAAAUCAAGCAAAACAAAGUAGUAUGGCAGCAAAUGAAUUACCAUACCAAUACAAUAGGGCAAGAAUAAACGCAAUCACACAAGACACCAAAUUUACGUGGAAAAUUCUUCGGUGUGAAGAGUAAAAAAUCACGGAACCAAACCUCCACUAUAAUCACCAAAUAGUUACAAUAUUAUUCUUCAAAAUGGCCACAAAACAAGUGUCAAACAACAAGAAACAAUACAUAAACCAUAGCACCAAACACUAGAGAAAUAAAGGGGUGAAAGCAUAAAAAACAUAGCUACUGUUCAAAAAUGAAGAAUAGGAGAUAAAGACCACCAAAUCAAGCUCCAUCAGUUCCUAAUCAAAGAUUGAGAUGAGAAGAACAAGCAGUCCAAAAAUCAGCUCAAUCAGACAAGAAACGAAGUAGGAAUCGCAAUUUGAAAUUGACAGCUGGGGUUGGAAUUUAGGUGCGAAAAUUAGCUUUUUUUUUCUCUUUGAAUGCUGAGAACUCUCUUUUUUGUGAUGGUGAAUAAGACCUAAAAGGAUCAAUAUAUAUAUCCUCCAUAGUAAAGGGCCUAUGGGCAAAAGUGGGUUGGUCCAAAUUAGGCUUUAUUUAUCUACAUAGGAAGGAAAAAAAGACCCAAUAACCCAAUAAUUCUCCCCCUCCCAACUAUGUGGAGGAGAUCACUAUCCCGACGAUCAUGCAACAAUCUUCAAACUUUCCUCUUGGCAAAGCUUUAGUCAUCGUGUUGGAACCAUUAUCAUCCAUAUAAAUCUUCUCAAGUUCAAAUAACUUAGAAUCCAACACAUCCCGAAUCCAAUGGUAUCUCACAUCAAUAUGUUUAGACCGACCAUGAAAUAUAGAAUUCUUGCCAAGAUGUAUGGAACUUUGACUGUCGCAAUGAAGCACAUACCUCUCUUGAGCAUAACCAAGUUCUCCCAAGAAUAUCUUCAUCCAAAGCAAUUCUUUACAAGUUACAACGAUAGCAAUAAGCUUAGCUUCUGUAGUAGAUAGAGCAACACAUUUUUUCAACCUAGAUUGCCAAGACACAGCUCCCCCUGUAAAAGUAACUAAAUACCUUGAAGUAGACUUGCGAGUAUCAACAUCACCUACCAUAUCUGAAUCAGUAUAACCACGAAGAAUAGGCUUCCCUGCACCAAAACACAAACUCAAACUAGAAGUGCCACAAAGAUAUAUCAUAAUCCACUUCACAACAUUCCAAUGCUCUCUUUCUGGAUUAAAAAGAAAAUGACUAACAACACCAACGGCAUGAGAAAUAUCCGGUCUUGUGCAAACCAUUGCAUACAUCAAACUAUCAACAGCUGAAGCAUAAGAAAAUUUCCUCAUAUCUUCCUUUUCAUCAUCACUGGAAGGACACUGCUUCAUGCUCAACUUGAAGUGCAUAUCUAAAGGUGUACUGACAACCUUAGCCUUGUUUAUGUUAAACCUUUAAAGUACUUUCUGAAUGUACUUCUCUUAUAAUAACCACAACUUUUUGGCCUUUCUGUCACGGAGAAUAUGCAUGCCAAGAAUCUGCUUUGUUGGUCCUAAUUCUUUUAUAGAAAAAGACUUACUCAACUCUUGCUUCAACUUUUGAAUCCUGCAAGCAUUGUGACCAACAACAAGCAUGUCAUCAACAUAAAGCAACACAACAAUAAACUCACUAUUAGAGAAUUUUUGCACAAAAACACAAUGGUUUGAAGUAGUCUUCUUGAAGCCCUGCUGACUCAUAAAGGAACCAAACUUCCUGUACCACUGCCUAGGAGCUUGUUUCAAACCAUACAAGCUCUUCUUCAAUUUGCAAACAUAAUUCUCUUUUCCCUUGACUUCAAAACCUUUUGAUUACUCCAUAUAAAUUUCUUCAUCUAAGUCACCAUGGAGAAAAGCAGUUUUAACAUCCAUUAGCUCAACCUCUAAAUCUAGACUUGAAGCUAAGCCUAGAACCACACGAAUGGAUGAUAUCUUCACAAUUGGAGAGAAUAUCUCAUCAAAAUCAACUUUUUUUUUCUGGUUAAAUCCCUUCACAACCUAUCUAGCCUUAUACCGUGGAACUGGGUUACCAUCUUCAUGCUUCACCCAAAAAACCCUUUUAUUUUUCAAAGCUUUUAUAUCUUUAGGCAACUUAACCAAAUCAAAGGUAUGAUUAUCAUGCAAAGAUUUAAUUUCAUCUUCAAUAGCAUCAAACCAGUUUUUUUUAUUCUUCAUUUUUUAUGGCCUCAUCAAGACUCUCAGGUUUUCCUCCGUCAGUCAAAAGUACAUACUCAUUGGGAGAAUAAUAAGAUGAAGGUAUUAUCUCUCUAGUAGAUCGUCUGAGAGAACUCUCUAGAACAUCAAUAACUGGUUGUUGAUCAACCACAUCAACUUGCACUGGAGCAUCAACAACAUCAUGCUAGUUAUUCUAAACAUGAUCAUCAUCUUCAUUAUCAACUUGAUUUUCAUCAUCAUGAAGAUUUUCUUCGGGAGUAGUAGUCAAAGGAACUGGAUCAACAUCAACUAGACUCUCACUACUCUGAGAAUCAACCUUCUUAACUUUGUCAAAAUCCUUAAUUGUUUGGUCUUCAAAGAACAUAACAUCACAACUUCUAACAAGUUUUUUCUCAACUAAAUCAUAGAAACGAUAGUCAAAUUCAUCUUGACCAUAACCAAUGAAGAUACACUGUCUAGUUUUAACAUCCAACUUUGACCUUUCAUCCUUAAGAACAUGCACAAAAGCUUUACACCCAAAGACUCUAAGAUGAUCAUAAGAAACAUUCUUACCAGACCAAACUCCACAUCACCAUCCAAAGCAAUAGUAGGAGAUAAAUUGAUAAUAUAAGCAACAGUAUUAAGUGUUUCUGCCCAAAAGGAAUAUGGCAGCUUAGCAUCUGAAAGCAUACAUCUAACCCUCUCAACUAGAGUUUUGUUCAUCCUCUCUACUAAACCAUUCAACUGAGAAGUUUUUGGAGGAGUUUUCUGAUGCCGAAUACCCUACUCUAUGCAAUAUCUAUUGAAAGGACCAAUAUACUCACCACCAUUAUCUGAAUAGAUGUAUUUUAAUUUCUUUCCUGCCUGUCUCUCAAUCAAGGCCUAAAAAUCUUUGAACACAUAAAGUACUGAUUCUUGGACUUUAAAGAAAAUACUCAGAGUUUGCGAGAAUGAUCAUCAAUAAAAGUCACAAGGUAAAGUUCACCACCAUGAAACCUUACUUUAAAAGGACCAUAUAAAUCAGAAUACACCAACUCCAGCAAAUUAAGCUUUCUUGAAGACGGAUGACUCUGAAAAGAAACUCUUUUCUGUUUAUCGGCUAAGCAAUGAACACACUUCUUCAACUUUACUUGUUUUACUCUAGAAAAAAAAAUUCUUAGCCAAACUAUCAAUCCCCUUCUCAUUUAUAUGAAUCAACCUUCUAUGCCACAACUCUGAUAAAGUAUCAUUCUCCACCAAGUUUAUCAAGCCUCUAGAAGUAGAGCCCUGAAAUACGUACAAGUUAGACAACUUGUCACCUCGAGCCACAAUCAUCGAAACUCUAGUAAGCUUCCACUAGCCAGUACCAAGGGUGUUAACAUAACCCUCAUCAUCAAGGUUCCCUACAAAAAUCAAAUUCAAGUGAUCAUCUAGAGCAUGUUUUACAUUAUUGAGAACUAGUUUGGAACCAUUGUUACUUUCCAAACAAACAGUGCCAAUGCCAAGUACUUUAACUUCAUCAUUAUUUCCCAUUUUCAAUAUUUCAAAAUUACCUGGAGUAUAAGAAGAAAAUAACUCCUUCUUUGGCAUAACAUGAGAAGUAGCACCAGAAUCCACAAACCAGCUAGACUUAUCACGAACAAGAUUGAUGGCAUUCUCACCACAAGCAACAAGAUCAUCAUAGCAACAACUACAAUACGAUUUUCAUUAUCGCCUUCGUUCUUUUGUCAUCUCAUAUCUCUCUUAUGCUUGUAAUAAUAAUUCAUGAUAUGCCCUUUUUUGUUAUAAUAGUCACAUGUAACAUUCUUCAAUUUGGACCUCUACUUGCUUCUAAUUUUAUCUCUACCAUUCGAACCUUUGGACUUAUUUCUCUGCUCUCUUCAGUAACCAAAACAUCAGAGUGUGAAGAUGAAGAAUAUAAGGCCUGGGAUUUUUUUUUAUCUCUUCAUUCAAGACACCACUCUUAACAUAUUUCAUAGUUCCAACACCACCGGGAGCAGAAUUAGUCAAAGAAACUCGAAGAGUUUGGCAGGAUAUUAAGAAGCCAAAGUCCUUGAAUUUCUUCAUCGAACUUUACACCCAUUCCUGACAGCUGGUCAAAGACACCCUGAAAAUUAUUUAUAUGAGCAGAAAUAGGAUUUCCCUCUUUAUACCUGAUAUUCAUCAAUUGCUUAAGCAGGAACACCUUGUUAUUGUCAGUCUUCAAAGCAUAAAGUGUUUCGAGCUUGUCCCAUAAACUUCUGGCAUGUGUCUCAUUCACAAUAUAAUUUCUAACAUUAUCUUCAAUCCAUUGUCUGAUAUAACCACGAACCUGUAAGUUCUCAAAUUCCCAAUCCUCAUUUGUCAUGGAUUAAGGUUUAGUAGACGCAAACACAGUAUAUGCAAUUUCUUGACAAAUAGAAGAUCUUUCAUCUUGCCUUUCCAAGUAUGGUAGUUACUACCAUUCAAACACACCAUCUUGCUCAUAUUUGCCUCCAUCAUUCAAAUCAAUAAUCAAUAACAACCAACUCUCUGAUACCACUUUGUUGGGAAAGACAGGGCACUAUGAAAGAGCCCGACAGGGUAGCAGCGGAAGAAUACCCAAGUCUACACUUUCCCUUCCAAUUUGAACUAAGAGAAGACAAUCAAAUCAAGCAAACAAAGUAAUAUGGCAACAAAUGAAUUACCACACAAAUACGAUAGGACAAGAAUAAAGGCAAUCACACAAGACACCAAAUUGACAUGGAAAACCCUUCGAUGUGAAGAGUAAAAAACCACGGGACCAAACCUCUACUAUAAUCACCAAAUAGUUUUAAUAUUGUUUUCUAAAAUUUCCAUAAAAUAAUUUCCAAACAACAAGAAAUAAUAUAUAAACCACAGCACCAAACACUAGAGAAAUAAAGGAGUGAAAGCACAAAAAAUACAGCUACUAUUAGGGAAUGAAUAACAGGAGCUACAGGCCACCAAAUCAAGCUCCGUUAGUUCCUAAUUAAAUAUUGAGAUGAGAUUAAUAAGCAUUCCAAAAAUCAACUCAAUCGGAUAGGAAACGAAGCAGGAAUCGCAAUUUGAAAUUGACAGCUGUGGCUGGAAUUUAGGUGCGAAAAUCAGCUUUUUUUUCUCUUUGACUGCUGAAAACUUUCUUUUUGUGAUGGUGAAUAAGACCUAAAAGGAUCAAUAUAUAUGCCCCAUAGUAAAGGACUUAUGGACAAAAGUGGGUUGGUCCAAAUUGGACUUUAUUUAUCCACAUAGGAAGGAAAAAAAACCCAAUAGCCCAACAGAACAUGCUAAAACAUUAAAAAAAAAUUACCUCAAAUCACAAGCAAAUUUAUUUGUUCAAUCAUAAGAGUUAUCAAAAUUUUACACACACAAAAAAAAAACUUUCAAUGAGCAACUGUUUUUCAAGAAUACAUGAUAAUUGUUAUAAAAUAAUAAAGAAUAAAGAACAAGAGUAGAGAGAGAAGAGAGAGUAAUUAUUAUUUCUCUUGAUGGAUGAUUUACAAUGGAGAAAAUCUCUUUAUUUAUAGGGAAAAACUAACCUUGGAGUUUGUAACUUUUCCAUAAAUAGGCAUACACAAUAUAUGGUAAAGUAGGUGUUCACUAUAUAUAGUAAAGGAGACAUUCACUAUAUAUGAUAUAUUAUAACACUCCUCCUUGAAUGUCUAAUUGAUAGACAAUACGCAUAUAUGCUGCCACAUUAAAAACCUUACAAGGAAAAUCCAGUGGGAUUAAACCUCAUAAAGAAAAAGAGUACAACGCGUAUUAACUUCCCCUAAUGAGAACAUCCUUGAACCUUUGCAUUCUGAUCUUGUACACCAUCUUCUUGGAAGUUGAAAUUGAAGGAGACUUGGUGAAUAAAUCUGUCACAUUAUCACUUGAACGAAUCUGUUGCAUGUUAAUAUCACCAUUCUUUUGGAGCUCAUGUAUGUAGAAAAGCUUUGAUGAAAUGUGCUUCGUUUUAUCUUCUUUUAUGGAUCCUUCCUUAAGUUGUGCUAUGCAUGUUGUAUUAUCUUCAUAUAAGAUUGUGGGUAUAUUGUCACAUUUCAAACAAUAUUUUUCUCGAAUGAGAUGUAUCAUGCCUCAACCAUACACAUUCUCGGCUUGCUUCAUAAAUAACUAUUAUCUCAACAUGGUUCCAUGAAGUGGCUACGAUAGACUAUUUUGUAUAUCUCUAAGAUAUUGCAGUACCACCACAUAUGAACACAUAGCCUAUUUGAGAUCGAGGUUUAUAUAGGUUAGAUAAGUACCCAACAUCAACAUGAUCAAUAAGAUCGGGACUACAAACUUGCUAAUAAAUUAACUGAAAAAGGCUAUAUCAGGCCUUAUAGUAUUUACAAGAUACACGAAUGCAUCAAUUGCACUAAGAUAUGGUACUUCAUAAUCAAGGAGUUCCUCAUUCUUUUCUUGAGGUCGGAAUGGAUCCUUAUUCAAUUUUGCAUGUUUCUCAUUUAAACAUAAAUUCUAUUGCUUUUGAAACUCUCCAAGAGUUCCAAUGAUACUCAAACCAUCAAAUUAUCUCUUAUGAGGAUAAUAAAAAGUUUCCCAGAAACUUUACAGGCAUUUUGAAUCCUUUAGAGAUUUUCAUAUGGAUUUUUGUCAAGUGACAAUAUCCAACUUGUUAAGUGUGACAUCUUCAAGUGUCUGGACUGUAAAUCAAAUAAGUUUUAUACUUACGAAAAUGCAUCCUUUCAUGUCACUUGAUAAAUAUUUCAACGCCAGCAUGCUUAAAUAAACGUAGAAUUCGGAUCCUCGUAAUACUUUAUAAUAUUGCGUCAUUGUUUCAAAGAUAUUUUCAAUGAUAUAUCAUUUUGUAUCGGUUCACAAUGUGACAUAACAUUUUGAGAUCUCAUCACUUUAUUAUUUUCAGGUACCUGAACCUCUCAUAGGUUUCAUGAAGUGUUAUGUCGUAGGCUCUUCAAGAGCACAUUGCCUUCUUAUUAUGAUUAUUUACUCCUUAUCCUUUUCAAGAAUUAUUUCAUUUAGAACCAAUUAGUCUACCAUGCUUCAUGCAUGCAUAGAUUUUGUCCUUUAAAAAUGCAAAAUAGAAGCACUUGCAGCUUAGAUAAGUGAUUAAAUGUGAGUCAGUAAAUGCUUCCGGCAUAUGACUUGAAUUAUCUUUUGAAUGAGGAUAUGAUGAUAAUUCCUAACAUAUUUCAUAACUGCUUGUAAUCUCCCCCAUAUGUUAGGAAAACUAACAUACAUCCUCCAUCUUUUUUUAGGAAUACAUCUUUGUACAUAAUGGUAUAUUUAUUAAUUGUAUACCGCACAUCAAAACUAAUAGAUGAAAUAGUUGGUUCCUGACCUUGAACCAAUUGAGAGGGAAGAAAUAAUCAUAAUUUAUUGGUCUAAUGCAUGCAAGUCUUAUUGUAUACAACAUAUCGUAUUUCAGACCAACAUAUGAAGCUUUGUUCUCAUCAGCAAUGGUUUAGCUAUUUAUUGAAGGUAUUCAAUGCCAAACCAUUUUCAUCAAGAUGAAUUGUCUUGAUUGCACAAUAUGAAAGUUGUGUUCUUAACUCAAUUUUAUUGAGCAAACAACUUUAUGAAUGUCAAGCUAUGGGUUGACAAUAAAUGUACAUGUAAUUAUCUUAUUGAUGCAUCUUUUCAACAUAUCACAUGAAAGGUAAACGGGCCCUUAUUCACCUUUUAUAUUUUUCAGAUUUUGAGAGAUCCAAUCCAAUAAUUAGUUGGUUCAACCAACUUAUCAUGAGAACAAACAACAUGAAUAAUUCUUGAAGAAUUUUCUAAUUCUUCAUUACAUGUCCAAUACUCAAUAUGCACAUCUUCGGGUUGUCAUAAUCGUUCAUGUCAACUUAUGAAAUUUUAUUCUAGCAAACUCCAAGUUUACCAUGAUAUGUACCUUUUUACUUUAGUAAAUUUCAGAUUUACUAUUACAUGAAUAAAUUUUAGAUUUACUACUUUAGAAGUAGAUUUCAAAAUAACUCUUCUCGAUUAUUCUGCCUCAUUCGGAGGUGAGUUGUGAAGCCAUCACAAUUAAGUUCACGUUUGUUGAUAAGUUUCACUAAAUAUCAUAACAUUCACCGAGGAAAUGGAUCUAUGCUUAUAACAAUUAAAAUUCUCAUUCCCAUGAAUGAAAUAUAAUCUUGUCUUAAGCCUAUCAAAUUGAUAGCUUAUAACCUCUUUUAUGAUAUUGCUACUUUAGGAGAAGAUUGAGGCAUACAUAUGAUCUAGAGAAGUUUUCUCUAACAUAUCUUAUGAUCAUAAUACGAUGUGAAAAUAUCAUCACUUUUGGUGAUCAUUAUCAUAUUGUCCCUCCACACGUAUAUUCGUGUAUUCAAUCAUUUGUCUUCUUUCAGACAUAUUAUGCACUGCUAUAUAUACACUUCAAGAAUAAAGUAAGUUGUCAUAUUUCACAUUUAUCAUAUAUUGCUACCACAUUCACUUCAUGGAAUGAAGCAUAUUCAAUGGGACAUAUUUCAUGACUUUUCAUUAAAAACACAUUAUUUUGUCUUAGCCAUCAUAAUAUCAUUAAUAUGGUGCAUUGAGAUUCAAACUCAAUGUAUUAUCCAUAUAAAGGUGUCUUAGGCAUAAAUCGAUGAGACUUGACCCAUGCAUGCAUUCAUAUCAUGCUUUUGGGAGGAUGACCAUCUUCAAGUGGUCAAAUCUUUCUUUUAGGUUAUUCCACAAAACAAGUGGAUUCUUAGUAGUAAGGUAUUUAAUUUUCAGAAUUUCGUCAAGAUGAUGACGUAAUAAAAUCAUAGCCUUAGCACGAUUUUAAUGAGAUACUGUAUUUUUUUUUCCUUUAUGGCAUCUCCAAGACCCAUAACAUCUAAGUGGAUUUCAGCAUUUAAUACUCAUUAAAGGUAGUUCUUGCUCGAGGCAACGAACUCAGAUUUUGUAAGAUUAUUAGCAAUAUGAAAAGAAAGAAAAUAAUACCUUAGCCUUCAAAUUUGAUACGGCAGAGUCUCGUGCUGAUAACGUAUUAUAAAAUAAUAAAGAACAAGAGUAAAGAGAGAAGAAAGAGUAAUUGUUAUUUCUCUUGAUGGAUGAUUUACUAUGAGGGAAAACUCCUUUAUUUAUAGGGGAAAACUAACUUUGAGGUUUGUAACUUUUCCAUAAAUAGACAUACACAAUAUAUGGUAAAGUAGAUAUUCACUAUAUAUGGUAAAGUAGACAUUCAUUAUAUACGGUACAUUUAUAACAAUAACUUAUUUAUUAUAAAUUUCAAAAACAUACUAAAAUACUAAAAAUCUUACCUCAAAUCACAUGAAAAUUUAUAUACAUUAGUAAGAAAAUUCUAUGUCUAAACCUAUUUUUUUUCUGCAUGUGAUAGUUUUGGAGAAAAACAUCUAAACCUAAAUAUAAAAGAACAACUAUCAUCAAUUAAUUAAAAAAGAAUCCUAAUGUUACAGUGAUUCAAAAGUUAAACAAAAUUCGAUUAAAAUUUAAAGCCUUCCGAAUUUUUUCACGCAUGUUAAGGUUCUCCUUCCUUUUUUUUUUUUGUGUUUUUUUGGCCAACUUUCAAGUUUAUAUUACAUUUAGGUCUUUUUUUUUUCCUUUUUUUCUAGAAUAUUAUAUUUUGUUUACAACCGUGUGUUUUAUUAUGCAUGUUUUUCCCCUCUAUAUUUUAGGAAUCCUUUUUUAAGUACACAAGGAAAAAAAAAAAUCUAUCAAUAUUAAUUUUCCAUAUAUUUUUUUCUUACCAUAUACUGUAGGAUGCCUUUUAAAUAUUAUAAAUAUAAUGAUAUAAUAAUUUAGAGAAAAAAAAAAGUGAAAAGACAAUUUUGUCUAUUGCAGAGAGUUUUAAGGACACAAAGUUCAAAUCACUUUUCUAAGAGCUUCACACUUUUAAUAUAUUAUAGAUUAUAGAUAUAGAUUAUAGAUAUAGAAUAGAUAUGGAUUAUAAAUUAUAAAUAUAGAUUAUAGAUUAUAGAUUAUAGAUUAUAGAUAUAGAAUAUAUAUCUAUAUAGAUCUAUAUAUAUAUACACACACACAUCAAUACACAACUUUAAAUUAAAUAAAAAGGGUAGUUUGAUGCACUAAGCUUCCAAUAUGUGAGAGCGGUCUGCGGAAAGACGAUUGAACAUUAAGGGUUUAAUAUAUGCAGUUUUAGCCUGCAUUUCUGUAAGAGAUUAUUUCAAUUUGUAGCUCAAAUCUGUAAUAUCUGAUCACAUGACAACAACUUUACCAAUUUAGUUUGAAAUAGCACCCAAUGAGUACCAAAUGUGGUCCGCUAAUGAGUACACUCCAAGUUAAAGUCUCUCUCACAGUCUAUUAUAGUCAUUGAGAAAGACGUCUACUUCAUCUUUGUUGCACACGUAUAGUAAUUACAAAUAUUUGGAUAAAGGAAACACUAUAGUCUCUCUACACAUUUGUAGUGUAGUGAAAACAUUAAUUAUAUUUAUACUAUUAUUCACUAGAGAAGCCACCAUAUUUUAUAUAUGUAUAUAUAUAGAUGAAGAUUGUGCAACUUAUUUAGUGGUGAGAGGGACACAUAUAGGGAUGGGCCAUCACUGCUGCAGCAAACAAAAAGUUAAAAGAGGUCUUUGGUCUCCAGAAGAAGAUGAAAAACUCAUUAGACAUAUCACCACCCAUGGUCAUGGCUGCUGGAGUUCUGUUCCAAAACUAGCAGGUUCAAUUUUAUUUUUGGAUAAUUUUUUUGUGACGCAAUGCCUGACGCCCAGGCAGACGUGCCAUCGGCCUAUAUACACAUAAUUUCUCAUACUUUUUUCUCUUUGUUCUUUAUUGGAGAAUUUUUAUUUUGUGAUUGACGUUCUGAAAUUAUGUGAUCGCUUCAUCUCAAAAGAUUAAACAGCUGCCAGAGAGAAAACAUAGUUAUUUGCUUUAAUAUAUCUUUGACAUUGCCUCUCACGUGCCGCCUGAUUCUUUUUUCAUGAGCCAAACAUCUUAAUUUUCUAGUAACUAAUUGUAGCAAAAACACUUGAAAUGAGAGAUGCGACUGUCAAUUAUCCGGUCAACAUACUCAUACAAUGAUUUUCAGAAGAUGAAGAAAGAGAGAGUGCGCUUACAGCUUCUCUCCUAUGAUAAAACGAUAACUAGCUCCGACCUACAAAGGAGGUCGUUAGACCUUUUUUAAUUACAAUGUGUGACCGUGAGACUUGAAUUCAGGCUUUCUUUCUGAUCUGAUAUAUACUAUUUCGUUAAGUUAUUAGAAAUCGUAUAUUUUUAUUUACAUUAUUAUAUUUUCAAACCUUUUGUAGGACUGCAAAGAUGUGGAAAGAGUUGUAGAUUGAGAUGGAUAAAUUACUUGAGGCCAGACUUAAGAAGGGGUUCAUUUACUGAACAAGAAGAAAGAACAAUUAUUGAUGUUCAUAGAAUCUUGGGAAAUAGAUGGGCACAAAUAGCGAAACAUUUACCAGGUAGGACAGACAAUGAAGUGAAGAAUUUUUGGAAUUCUUGCAUCAAGAAGAAACUUAUUGCUCAAGGGUUAGAUCCAAAUACCCACAACCUCCUCAAGAACAAAUCUAACAAUCCAACCAAAAAAUCCGACUACACUUAUCAUCAUCAAGAUUCCACCUCAGUUUUCACCAUUGAUACUUCAACAAAUAAAGAAGUAAUUUCAAUGGAUUUAAAAUCAACUCUUGCAACCUUAUCUCCUAAUUUCCCUCCUAGUGAUAAUAUUAUUACUUCUAGUACAUACAAUUACACUCCUAUUGUUCCUAACAUUGAAUACCAAAACCCUACUUUCGCAUGGAGUGAGGAGAGAAAUCAGAGUACACUAACCAUGCUUCAGUCCCAAACAAGUGAGAGAAAUCUCGUUACUACUCGAGAUUCCAUUUUGGAUUUCGCGAGUAAUUGUUCUUUAAUGGAAAGCACGACGAAUAUUAAUGUGUCAUCUUAUAUAAAUGAGAAUAGAAUGUGGAAUGGAACUGGACUUGAACCAACAACAUUAAAUCCUGUCAAUGGACAAGAAGAAGAAAUGCAAGUACAAUUACAAGGAGAUCAACAAUUUCCAAUUAUUCAGACCAAGUUUUGUCAUGAUCAAGAAGAUGUGUACAAGGUUAAUGAUCAUGAUCAAACAGUGGAAAAUACAUUUGACGACAACUCUAACUUUGAUUUUGAGUUUAUGAAUUCUGCAUUUGUGCCUUGUGGAUUGUACACUAAUGAUAAUUCUAUGGAUCAACUUUCAUGGGAUUGUUAGUGUAUUUUUUUCUAGUUUCCUAGUAUAUCUUUCUUGCAUGUUUAUUUUGCACUACACCUUGUUGGGGAAAAGAGGAAAUUGGUAGUUGUAGCUUUAUGUCAAAAUCAUGAUUAUUUUGAAAAGAUCAAUUCAUGUUUAACUUGUAGAAAUGAAAAAGAAAAAACAUAAUUAUAUUACAAUGUCUGAUGUAACUUGUCAUGAUUCCUUUGUAUUAGUGGUGAGGUCCAAUAGAAACAUUCACCAAUAGAAUUAAUGUUAAUUCAAUAUUUUCUUAGUUUGAUUUUACCUGACACAUUUACUUUUUCUAAUUCAUUUAAAAAGAUGACACGUGAUUCUGUAAUUAUUUUUACAUUUUCUAUUCCCAUAUAUUUAAUGAGAAGCUUUUAUAACCAUACAAAUCAAUACCAUCAUAAUAUUAAAAACUAGAGUAAUUUUUCUAGUUCUCACACAUCGAAAUAGAAGGCAACUUCCAGGUGCUUACUCCAAUAUAAAAGCCAACAGCCAAUAUGCAACUUCUCCCACGCAGCCACGGUGAGCUCAAAGCGAACUAUUUUUUCGUCUUUUACUGAAUAACAUCCUGUGCUCGUCGCAAUUAGUGACAUAUGUCUAUUUUUGGAAGGGUUCUCUUUGUGGAGUUACCCCAACAAUUCUACGUAUAAAAAUUUUAACUUUGUUAUAUAAUUUUAACAACUUACAUAUUCAAGUUAAUAAAGUUAGAAUAAUGAUGAAUCAAAUCUCUAUGAUAACAUUGUUUGUUUGGGUGUUGUAGCAAAAGAGUUAUUACAACGAACAUCUAAUUAUGGUUAUUAUAAUUAACAUAGCCAUUGCUUUUUUUUUUUUUUUUUUGGGGGGGGGGGGGGGGGGUCGCUUAAUUUUGCUUUGGUUCCGUGUUUGUUUGGCUGUUAUAGCAAAGUGUUUUUACAGCAAACAUAUAAUAGCAUUAUCGUUAUUAUAAUUAGCAUAGCCUGAUCGGUUCCACGAAAAAUGUGACUAUGCUCAAAAGUUGAUUUAUCAUGUUUAUUUCUCUUUUCUAUAUAUGAUAAACUCCUUGUAUCGCCAACUAAUUCACAUGUGUAGUCUUAAUUUGAAACAACCUUAUCUAAGUGAAAAUAUUUAUUUCAUUAAAUAUACUUACAUAGAUAGAGAGCUUAAAUGUGUAAUGUAUAUACAAAUCGACUCAUCAUCAUGAAAAGCUCAAGAUCUUUUAAAGUUUCUAUUGAUUCUCUCUGAAUCUUAACUAUUUUUCUUAUGAUAUGAUGUUCAAAGUUUGUCAUGAGGUUUGCUUUGAAUACCAUAGUUUUUUCUCGCAAAUCAAUAAUAUUCUCCUUCCCUACCCAAAUUAUGUUUCUUCACAGCAUCUCUUAAUUGUUUAUGAGAAUUGAGGAAUAUGUGAACCAAUUUAAGAGAAAAUUAAGAUUAAAAAGGUUUUAUAAUUAUGUUAUAUAGUUUAAUUAGGGAAAAUAAUUUAUUUAAGAUAAAGUUGUUCAUAAUUAUUAGGAUUCCCUACCUAAUUCAAUAAGAAAAUUAAUAAUCAAAAUUUUAAUUAACUUCAAAAUAUUAAAUAUUAUGAAUAAAUUUUCUUUGUUGAAAAACUUAAUUUCUAUAUUGGAAUUGCAAUAAUUACAUUGCUUAAGCCUAUUAUGAACUUUCCAUAUAUAGUAUUGUAUAUUGUACUUAUGCAAAUCAAAGUGACCAAUAUACAAUAUGGUUAUAUAAUGUGGAUUCGUGUGCCAUAUUCGGAAAUAAGUCAAUAGUUUUUAUUAUAUAAAAAAGCUUUUUACUAUAUAUACACAUUGGAAAAGUUCUAUUAUUUCUUGUGAGUAAAUUGAGAAACUUUGCAAUUAAAGGGAAAAAGAAUUAAAAGGGGUUAGAGUACAUAUACUUUGUUAAAAAUAUAAUUAAAUGUCUUUUUCUUUUAUAUUUUAUCAUAUAUUCUUCUCUUAUCUUUAUUUUAGGACUCUAUAAUUUUUGAAAUAUUUUUCUUUUACCGUAUAAUUUAAGAUUUCUUAAUUAAACAUUAUAAAAAUAAUAAAUAAUACUUUAAGAUAAAUAGGUGAAAAGAUAAUUUUGUCUAUAGUAAAGUAUUUUAAUAAAGGGAAAAAAGUUCAAAUCACUUUUCUAAAGGUCUUCACACUUUUCAUAUUACUAGUUUAGGAUACGCGUCCCGUGCGUGUACCUCGUUUCAGUGAAUUCAGUUUUAUAAAAUAACUUUGAUACUACAAAAAAAAAAAAUUGUUGCAAUUGUUUUAGCCAUUAUAGUAGAUUUUUGUCUUUAAAUUUAAUAUUUAUUUAAAUGAUAUAGCUUGUACCUAAAAAGGAAUAUUAAAAUAAUGACGAUAUGCAUUUACUGACAAUUGAAACAAUUGCAUAGUAUUAAAUUUUAAAAGAGAAUUAAUAUAGAAUUAGAAUGACUAACCAAUUUAUUGUGAUGAAAUUUAAUAUCCAACAAAUCUGGUCAAAAUUUUUAAAUAAGUCAAUAUGAACAAAAAUCUUAAUCAAUAAUUAUCUAUCGAGAAUACAUGAUAAUUUGCUAUUUUAAACUUCAAAAACAUACUAAAAUUACUAAAGAAAACUUCUCAAUUAGCAAAUGUCAAUUAAAAUGUAUGAUAAUUUAUUUUUAUAAACAUAAAAAAUAUACUAAAAUCUUAGAAAACUUACCUCAAAUCACAAACUAAUUUAUCUCUUCAAUCAUGACUAUUCUCAAUAUAAACUUGUUAAUUAACAAUUAUCCAUCAUAAAUAUAUGAUAGUCUAUUAUUGUAAACUUCAAGAACGUAUAUAAAAUUUUAAAACUUAUAUCAAAUCAUAAAAAAAAUUAUCUCUUUAAUCAUAGAUACAUCAAGAUUGUAAACAUUAAGAAUAUACUAAAAACUUUAGAAAACUUACCUCAAAUCACCAACAAAAUUUUCUCUACAAUCAUAAAAUAUCUCAAAUUUCACAUACACACAAAAAAACAACCUCUCAAUUAGCAAUUGUUAUCAAGAAUACAUGAUAAUUUGUUCAUUUUACACUUCAAGAAUAUACUAAUACUAAAAUUCUUAAAAAAGCUUACCUCAAAUAGCAAGUAGAUUUAUCUUUUUAAUCAUAGAUACUAUCAAGAUUUCAAUUAGUAAGAAAAUUUUAUAGAAUAAUGUAAACAAAGAGAGACAACUACCAUUAAUUAAUUACUUAAAGAAAUCCUUAGUUAAAAGUGAUUCAAACCUAAACAAUCUAAAACUUAAUAGCAGUUUAGGUUUUAUAAAAAGCAUGAUUUUUUGAUUUAUAAGGAAACUUUUCCUUAAAAAAAGAAAGAACUUUUAAAAAAAAAAAAAAAUACUUUAGGACAGUUAGGUUUUAUUUUGGGAAACUUAAGGAUUUUUUUCCUUCAAAAUUUAACAAAACGUGUCUUCAGUUUUUUUUUUUUUUCAAAAAUUUAAAUAAGGUGUUUUUUUUUUGUAACUUUAUGGUCGUUAAUUUCUUUUUGUGUUUUUUAAGGAAAAUUUUUUAAAAGAUAUUUUUCUUUUAUAUAUAGGACUCUUUAAUUUUAAAUAUUAUAAUAUAAUGAUAUAAUAAUUGAAGAAAAAUUAUAAAAUGAUGAUUUUGUCUAAAGCAUAAACUUUUAAUGAAGGGUAAAAAGUUCAAAUCACUUUUCUAAGAGUUUUCACACUUUUAAUAUAUUAUUGAUAUAGAUUAGAUUAUGUCUGCUUCAGCUGCUUCAAUCAUAAUUUUAUUGUAUCAUCCCUAAUUAAUUAUUAUAUCUAUAAUUAAAUAUUAUAUAAGUCAUUUACAUAUUAAAAAAUUAAUAAUAUUUAAUUAGAAAAAGUAAAAUAAACAUUUAUGUGUAUUUCAUCUGUUUUAAUCGUAAUUUUACUAUAUCACCAUUAAUUGAUUAUUAUACAAGUAUUUUUUAUAAUAAUUUUUUUAUGACGCUUCUAAAUAGUUAUUACAAGUCACUUAAGACAUGUGUGCUUCAUUGUUUUCAUCAUAAUUUUACUAUAUUAGCCCUAAUUAAUUAUUAUGAUCAUCUAAGUAUUGAAAAAUUGAUAAUAUUUCAUAAAAAAAAAGGAUAAAAGAGACACAAAAUGAUAUAUAUCAACAUAAAAAAUUUAAUUGACUAUCGAAAUUAUAUUAGUGAAUAUAAAUUAGGAUGGGACAGAGCAAGACAUAAAAUAACAUAUAUUAUUUUAAAAUGAAAUAAAAAGUAUUAUAAAUCACAAUAAUUAAGAACUUAAUAUAAAAGUAUAUAUCUACAAAAAUUUUGAUUGACUGUCAAAAUUUUAUCUGUGCUACAUAAAUUGAGAUAGGGAAAAUAUUGAUAUAUCUGGACCUUAGAAAAUUCCCUGGAAUUCUGAUCUCUGGACCUAAUACGACUCAUGGAUACGAGCAGUAUGUUGGGGUACGUAUGGUAUGAUCUGGUCGUAUACUGACCAGUGUUGGUUGGUGGGUUGGAUUUUGGUUACUAAAAUGGAUACGACUUAGGGGUACGAGUCAUAUUGGCGGUUACAUAUCAUUUGGCUCCUUAACUUAAUCUUAGACUUAGUUACUUAAGUUGGAUCUAAAUAUGAGUGGCGCACCAUGAUCCGUAAGCCAGGGUACGAAUCAUACCAGGGACUCGUAUGGUAGACAGUGUUUAAUCUCCAGGUAUUUUAUUCUGCCAAGGAUAUGGGUCAUGGAUAUGGAUCGUAUGUUGUGGUUACGAAUUGGUUGGACAAGUCAUAUACUAGACAAUGUUUGGUCCAAAGGUGGAGGUUCAGGAUGCGAGUGGUGGAUACAAAUCGUAUGGGAGGAUACGACUCGUGAGGGUCAGUUGUAUCCCUAUGCCAGAUUUUUGUGCAACUUAAGUUGGGAUAUUUUGGACAUUUCUCCACUUAUCAUAAUAGGUUCUCACGACUUCUAACCUACUUGAAAGGCUAUUUACCUUAUUAUUCUAUUCAUUAAUACUUAGAAAAUCUUCCUAAACACUUCAUUAUUCUCUCAAGAGCUUUUGGCAAGGGGAUCUAGGGUUUCAACUAAUGGAUCAAUUUUGGGGCUUGUCUUGGUGAUUUAUUUCCUUCAUCAUCUUAGUUUAAGGUAUGUUCUCUUUCCUCAUUGUUAAUUUAACUUAAAGGCAUGGUUUAUAUGAAUGUUUUCAUAGUUUUACUAUUACAUGAUUUUGGCUUUCAAAUAUGAUUUGGGGGUUUUGAAGUUAAAUGGUUGGUUAUGAUUUCCUAUGGUUUUAAUUAUGCUUUUAUAUUCAUUAAUGAUGGUUUUGGAUAAUUGGAUUGAAUGGAAGAUUUUAUUGGUAAUUGGAAUUGGUUUUGGUCAUAUUAUGCCCCAUAUAUGUUUGACAAAAUGCUUAUAAAGAUAUGCUUAUUGUAUUGACUUCUUUUAAUAGAACUCUUGCAUGUUUUAAACUUGGUAAAGGAAUUAUGCAUGGUUUAAAUGGAUUGGAAUGGUAAAUAUCUACUGGUUAUGGUUGUGAGGACAUGAAAGUCUCCCAAGUGGUUUGAUAUGGUAAAUGGAAGGGCACUUGAAAGUCCCCUUAAACCUAUAAAUGGUUGGUUAUAGAUGACACUUGCAAGUAAGGGUUGGUAUGACGAUAUCAAUAUUAAUGGCCGAUAUCAAUAUUAAUGGCCUUGGUUAAUAAAUAGAUAAUGGUUUGGUUAUUUGAAAACUGGUUUCAAUUGGGCAAUAUUGGCGGGAUGUGUAGCAAAGGUAUGGAAAGUGAAGGUCCGGGGGGACUAAAACUAGAAAUUUAUAUUUGCCGCUAUGAGGUCGGUCUUGGUGACUGUGUGCAUGAUGUCACACUAUAUUUAGGGGAUGUACUAGUCAUCCCAAGGGAUACUUCCUUAUAUAUAUAUAUAUAUAUGUUUGGUUGUUUGCAUAUGGAUGGUUUUACUUGGUUUUAUGAAUGGCAUUAUUUUAUCCUUACCCUGAGAUCAUGCUAGCGGUCACUAGGUAACCCCAUCUACUGGCGGUUAUAUAUACACACUAUGCAGGAACCGACCGUUCUACUCUUCCUACUUAGUGAUUGACUCAGGAAUAAUAUUUGGACUGAAGUAGUGAGCUUUCAUCCUUUCGGAAGGAUCCAUUUCAUGUUAUGGAUAUUAUUAAACAUUUUGGUUUUAUUUGGGAUAUUAGCUUUGGCUAUGGUUGGGGGCAUGUCCCAACCGGAUUUUAUUACUCUUUUGGUUAGAGGCUUUGUGGUAUGUCUAUGGGUUGGAAUGGGCGAGAUCGGUAUAGGUGUCAGCCUUGGCAUUGGAAUAGGCUGGGAGACUGGCAUCAUUGGACAUAAUUUCUCACUGUUCCAUCAUAUUUCAUUUUGGAAUUAAUUAUAUUAUGUUUUGGAACGUCUUUGGUUAUGGCAUAGUUUAUGGCCCUUGUUUGGUAUGGUUUGACAUGUUUGGAUUUUUGGUUAUGGAAUGGUUGGACUCGGUUGGGUUGGUCACGAUUGUGAUCUAUUUCCAGAGGCUUUAUGUGGGUUGUUACACUAUUUUGUUACAUGCUCGAAAUUCAUCCAACUCAGGGCAGGAGGCUGGAGGUUGGGUUGUGUAACGGCGGUGGUCUUCGAUCCCGAUUGGACUUGGGACACCCAUUACGAUAAGUCCCCAGGGCGGGUCGUGUCAGUUAUUAGGCAUAUAAAACUCACAACUUGAAUCCUCCUAAAAUGACCUUAAAAAUCCAUCAAUAAAAUCACUUUCAAUUCGCCCUAACUUUAUACAAAAAUCCAUUAAGUCAUUGGCCAAUUCACAUUGACCACGUUUCUCUUACAAAUCAUUUUUUCUCGCACUUAAUUAUAGUUAGAGUUGCCCAAAUAUUCUACUAAUGGUAAGAAUUUGUUAUCUUUCAAAGAACUUUAUAAAUAAGUAUUUUAGGAUGUUUAUUCACCGAUCUCUUUAAAUGACUUAGUUCAUUUUGAUAGAAAUUCUGUUUUCCCCAUCUAAUUCAAAACCCAUCAAAUGGUCAAAGUUCGGAUCACUCGAUCACUCGUUAAAAGUGUCCUAUUCUUCAAAUUAUGGACUAUUUUCUUUUGAGCCAAACAAAUUUUAUUCAUUUUAUAUGUUACUUUGAUGAAUUAUUACAAUUCAUGAACUAACAUGUUCACUUUUCUAGUAUUUUUAUUUUCUAUUAGAGAGAGGUUUAUUUGUAUUGGUAAUCAAGCUUGCUCUCUUCAUAAAGACUAAAAGCAAAUCAAUUUCAAAGUAAUUGCUAGUAGAACAUCAGCAUUUCACACGAUCUAAAGUCAAGAAAGCAACUAUAGACUUAUCAGUUCUUACUUCGGAUAAUAGAAGGUCUCGUUCAACUAUGGAUCCUAGUUUGAUCAGCACAAAUACUUCAUCCAAGUCAGUCCCCACCUUCUCUGAGGUAAUGGACCCUAGUGCCUCGAUAGGAAGAGAAAUAAUCCAUAGGUCGUUGAUGGAUUGGAACAAAAAAUUGACGAGCUAAGACUGACGGUCAUGCAAUGUAUAACACCUUCUCAGACUCCCCCAAACAUGACUUUGCCUCCUGAUACUCGACAAAAAGGGCUUAUGUUUCCAACACCAUAAGGAGUUGAUCAGGGAGGUCAUUUUACCACUUCUCAAAAUGAUCAUACUUCUUAGAAUGCUUCUUUUGAGUACACAUUUUCUCCUCCGAAGGUUCAUAACAUACCAUUAUCACCCCAUGCUCCGCCAAUGUACACCUAUGCUACCGACCUAUCAGCGGCACAAACUCAAAGGUUAUACCGUUUAGAUGCUAAUCAUUAUGUUAAAGCAGGGAAUGAUCCAAGAAUGUAAAUCAAUAAAAUAGUGAAUAAAAUCUCAAGAUCUUGAAAGAUGCAAUGAGAAUUCUUUGGGGUCUUGGGAGUAACCAAAAGUGUGAAGUAUGAAGAGUUGUGUGUAUUUUCCGAGAUUAAGUUGCCUCCUAGUUACAAGAUCCCAAAAUUUGAAAAGCUUGAUGUUUCCGAAAAUCCCUUCUUUCAUUUGAAAAUUUAACAUGAAAAUUUGAUUGGUGUAGGCAAAAAAGAAGGAGUACAGGUCAAGCUUUAGUCAAAGUUUGAGUGGAAAGGUUAUAAAAUGGUACGCUAAACAAGAUGUGACAAAAUGGCGUACUUGGGAUAACUUAGAAAAUGCUUUUGAGGAUCACAACAAGUUUUAUGUCGAUAUUAUUCCUGAUAGAAUCUCUAUGUAAAGAUAAGGCAGAAAUCAAAUGAGUGUUUUCGCGAAUAUGCCAUACAGUGAAAAGAAGAGACGGCCAGGGUACAUCCUCCUAUGGAAGAAGCUGGAAUAAUCAGUUACUUCAUCCAUGCUAAAUCUAGAGUACUUUGAUCGCAUAGUAACAAUGGCUGAAAAAACAUUUACUGAAAUUGUCAGAACUGGAGAAAUGAUUGAGGAUAGCCUCAAAAUAGGAAUGAUAAUAAAUUUGAAAGAACUGUAAUCCACUAAAAAGAGCUUCUAGACUGGCUCUUUCAAAAAUGGAAAGAAAAAAAAGAAGGAAGUAAUGGGAGUAAUGACUCAAGAUAGCUCUUCCAACUACAAGUGAUCCCCAUGAUACCAAUCCAAUGCUUGGCGUACUCAUUAUCCAUUCUAUUAUACACAAGCAGCAGAUCAUGCUCAACCUCUACCAUAAAGCUACCAAAAUAAUGUGCCUCAUGCCAGCCAUGAAAGGAAGUCUCCCAGGAUCUUCACACCAUUGACAGAACCACUUACUCAGCUCUAUGAAAGGUCGAAAGAAGCAGGGCUACUUCAUCCAGUGGAAGCAAAUCCUGUGAACACUUCCACCAAUUGGUAUAAUCCAAACAAGCAAUGUGUUUAUGAUUAUGGAGUUGUUGAACAUGACACAGAGAAAUGUAUUACACUCAAGCACAAAUUCAGGUUCUAAUUGACAAUAAGGUAAUAACGCUUGUAGAAGCUUCGACAAAUAUGAACAACGAUUUAUUGCCCAUUCAGAAGAAGUAGUCGUCGGCACCAUCAAUCACAAAGAAGAAUGAAAUUUCCUCAAAGGCACAUUUUUGACAUCCUUAUAUUUUUCAAUUUGAAUUUAUCAUUUUCUUUUCUUGUAAUCGUACUUUUCUAUUUUUAUUUCCUUGUAGUUGCAAUUUGUCACUUUAUUUUUUAGUAAUCAUAUUUUAUGAUUUAAUUUCUUUGUUUUAGUUGCAAUGAACUACAUUCGACCUGAUUUACAUUAUUGAAUAUGUAGGCAACCCAUAUUUUCUUGGUCAUGUUACCAAAAAUAUCAAAUAUCAUUUUUUGCUUUGUACGAAUUACGUUUGACCCAAAUUCCCAAGAUGGGAUACGUAAGGGGUCUAUGUCGGCUUCAAUCAAUCCCUUAGAAAAUUUAUCUUUUCAUUGUAUGUUGAAACUAUAUUUAACCUAAUUCCUACCUCAAUAGGAUAUGUAGGUGUCACACCGGCUCGGUCAUAUCUUCCGUAAUACUUCUAUAGAAACUAGGGCAGAAUUUUUUUAGAAUAUCUCAAAAUAUUCACAAAACUUGACAUUUAUUAUAAGUUGGACACCCUACGUUAUUGAACCUACACACAGGGCAAAGUUUUGAGAAGUUCUCAAAAUUUCAAACUAAGACAUGUCAGAAAGAACCCAAGUAUUCUGCAUUUUUAUACUAAAAAAUUUUGUUUGAGGAUCAUGAAAAUUUCAUACUAAACGAUGCCAUAAGUUAUAAGAAAGUUUGAGAGUUUCUAAGUUAUAGUCUAAAAAGAAUUUUUGAGGAUGAUCUCAAAAAAUUCAUAAAAUAAUAUCUCUCCUAUAGAUCAAGUCUGAAGAUUCAUCAAAGUAUGAAACGGGGGCAGAAUUUCGAAGAGAAACCUCAAAAUUCUACAAGAAGUAACAUAAAAAUACACUACCAAAGGAUGUAGUGCAGCGGAUGGGGCUGCUCCUUCCUUAACUAGAGGUCUCGGGUUUGAGCCCUGGGUAUGGAAAAAUUUUUGGUAGGGAGUGUUUCCGCCCGAAUGGGGCCAUACGCAGCGCGAAUCAGGAUUAGUCGGACUCCAAUGUGGGUACCGGAAACUAGAUAGGAAAUAAAAAAAAAAACAUAAAAAUUACAAGAGGUCUUCUUUGUUCCACUGGGGUAGAAUUUUUAAGGAAAGUCCUCAAAAAUUUCACCAAGACUGUAUUUUCAAAGCCAGAUCAAGCUUUCAAAUCAAUGAUCAAUAAGGAGCAUCAGUAGAGCUAGGCAAAACUAACACAGCUAUACUCUCAAAACUAAAAAUAUUUCUUUGGAUGCAGGAAUAAUAAAGUAUUGACAACAUUAAGCAUGAGAAAAGAGCAUUAUCUGACCCAUGGCAUUGCCAUCCAGACAAAUUCUCUUCUCACUUUUCCUCUUGAUUUAUGCUUCUACUAUUUUGUUAUAGUCUCUAACACAUUCUUUGAUUUUGUAGGAAAAUGAUCAUGCAUAGAGAUUGAGAUAUGAAGAUAUUAUCCAAACCACUAUCUCUAUAUCAUCAUGAGUCAAACGAUUUUAUCUUCAAACUCUAUCCUCUGUUACACUCUUGGCUUAAUGUAAAAGACAUUGUAAAUCAUAUAAUUAACAACUUAAGAAAUUUAAAAAAUAUAAAAUAUUUGGCUCACUCUCGAAAAAAUAUAUACCAGCAUCACUUAAAUUGAAACAGAAGAAAAAAUAUUAUAAAUCACAAUAAUUAAAAAUAUAAAUUAUUUUAAUAAUUUAAAUUGAGAUAAAAAAAUAUCAUAUAUUGGGUCUGUACUGGCACGGCCCAUCAGCUGCCAUUUGCUAAUUUUGGACCGUUGGUAACGGCUAUAUAGUUGUUGGCCCAACUGCCAAAAUCAACUUUUGGCUGAUUUUUUUUAAGAAAAGAUUUUUAAUUUUUUUCUAUAAAUGCAUGGUUUCGAAUCAGUUUUUUUCACUACAUACAAUCUCAUUCUCUCAAACUCUCUAGAUUAUUCUAAUUAUCUCUUAAAGUGCUCAAUUUUAUUUUAUUAUUUUGCAAUUACAAAUAUAAAGUGAAAGUUUCAAAAGUCUCUCAACUUUAGGAUACUUCCAAAAUUUGGUAUUAUCGUUCCAUCUCUUACUUUUAAUUUUUAAUUAAUGUAUUAUUUGUUAAAUAUUUAUUUUUAUUAUUUUUGUGUUUUUUGAAUAUUUGUUAGUUUAAUUUGUAAUAUGGAUACAUUAAGAAAAUCGAUAAAAGUGCUAGAAAUUUCUAUCCUGGAAGUGCUAGUGGUAAUAAAAAAUAAAUUUGUUUUGAUUCUGGUAGAGGUAGGUCAAGUACUAGAUAUAUUCGUCUACCUCCGAUACCAAUUAGAGUAUCCUUUGAGAAUGAAAUAGGUGUAGGUGCUCACAAUAUGAAUUUUUUAGAAGCUUAAGAAACUUAUGGUAUAGAAGAAGAUAGAAGAAGAGAAUGAAGUGGACGCAGUUGAUUUAAAUAUAGAUGAUGAUGCUAUUAAAAUACACCUGAAGUUGGUAAUGUUAAUGUUAGAUCUGAAUCGAUUAAUCUUCCACCCCGACCCCCUGUAAGAUCUCAUAAAAAAUUAAUAUUGUGUAAAAAAAAUUUACAAUGAAGAAGAAACUGCUAAGGUCCAAUACAAUAUCUGUCAGGGAUUAUAUGAGCAUAAGAUCGGAGGUAAUAAAGUGGGUACGAGUACGUUGAUAAGAUAUUUGAAAAAAGAACACUCAACAGAAUUAGUUGCGUCAAAAGGUGGAGGGACUAUUAGGAGGCCAACUAAAAUUAGAUUGGACCCAAGAACCGGUCAAUUUUUUGAAUGAAGGAUCAAAAAGAAUUAGCAGAAAUGAUAGUUAUGGGUUAUUUGUCGUUCUCUUUUGCUUCUUCUGAAGUUUUUGUUCAUUAUAUUCAAAUAAUUUACAAUUCUAUGUUUGAAGGUAUUUCUAGAAGUACUUGUCGGUCCAAUAUUUUGAGACUUCAUGCAUAAUAUAUUUAUUAUUUAUCAGCAUUAUUAAAUAAUCUUCCAUGUAGAGCUGCUCUAAUUUCUGAUUUUGAUCGUGUUGUUAAUAAAAAUAAUUAGUCAACAAUUAUUUGUCAUUGGAUAGAUAGUAAUUUCGUUAUUCAAAAACCGUAUUUUAGCAUUUUUAUAUGAUGAAGACCGUAAACACACUGAGAAAUUUAUUUCUGAAUCUAUUACAAAAGUUGUAAACUAUUAUGGUAUUGAAAGAAAAGUUUUAUGGAUAUCUUUUGAUAAUGCAUCUAACAACAAGGUUGUUGUUGACUUGUUAAAAGUUGAUCUUUCUCCAUCGUUGCCCGAAAUAUUUCAUGUUAAGUGUAUUUGUCAUAUAUAUAAUUUAAUUGUAAAAGAUGGUCUUGACUUUUUGAGUUUAGUAUUGAAAAGGUUAGGCUUGCAAUUGACUUUAUUCAAGAAAAUCAUAGAAAAGUUAGACUUAUAGAAUUUAAAAGAAAAUGUGAACAAAGUGAACUUAGAUCGAUAUUAAUGCUUGAAGAAGUAGAUUGUAGAUGAAAUGCUACAUAUGAUCUUUUAAGAGCUUGCCUUAUUUAUAAAGUUUUUAUUACAAUGACUUUUAAUUAAUUUGUUGGUUCUUUUCCUGAGUGUAUGUUACAUGAUUCUGAUUGGGUUAUGAUUGUUGAUCUUGUUGAUUUUUUGAAAAAAAUUAUAUAUAGCUACGAUUGAAUUUUUCAGUGCUUAUUAUCCUACUGUUUGUAAUAUUUUAGUUUAUUUAGCUGACAUUUCUUGUUUGCUUAACGAAUAUAAGGAUAAACCAAGUUGCAAAGAUGUUAUUGCUACAAUGGCUGAUAAAUUUAAAAAGUAUUUUUAUCUAUUUUUUUAUUUACUUGAUUGUUGCUAUAAUAAAUCCAUGUAUGAAAUAUAAUACUAUGUCUGAAUUUACUUUUAUUAUUUAUAGUGUUUUAGCUAUACAACCUGAAGAAGAACCUUCUUUGUUUACGGCUAUGAGUGAUGCAAACAAUUACAUGGGCGCAUUAUACAAUCAUUAUGAUGAUUUACUUGAUGAUGUUAUACCGGCACAUAUCACUCCAACUCCUGCUCCCCAAGCUCCCGAUGAGUCAUCAUUUUCUAAAAAUCAUGCACAUAGUAGUUAUCUUGAUUACUUUUUUUAAUUAAAUGUUUGCAAUAAGGUGUCGCCUUCAACACAUAGUGUCACACCUCUUUUUUCGCUCAAAGGACCGAGGUCGAAGGUUUUUUCCAAUUAAAGUGACGAUUUUAAAUAGGGAAUGUUUUAAUUAUAGAGUCGUCACUUGGAAUUGAGUUAUGGUGUUCCAAGUCACCUUAUUAAAUCCCUAAUUAAAAGGAAAUGACUCUUAUUAUGGUCUGCGAAAAUAGAAGACCGGGUAAGGAGUUCUGUUGACCGAGGGGAAGGUGUGAGGCACCCCUCGAGUCCCGUGGUUCUAGCAGGGUCGCUUUAUUAACUUAUCUUGAGUUAAACUAUUUUUUGAUAAAAUUGUGUUAAGGCCUAUAUUCGCUCAUUUUUAUUACAUCGAAAAUAACUAUCUACGUCUCUUAUGUUAAAUAAAUUGAUGAAAAUUAAUUUUUAAAGCUAUAUGUCAAGGUGCAUUAUUGCAUCCUUAAAUUUUAAAAUGUCUCGAAAAGAUAAGUAUCCCGCAUGCUUAAUUGAGAUGAAAUAUUUUAAAAAUACCUAAAAUUUAUCUAAUUUUAAAAGACGUUCAUUCAUCAUUAAUAAACUUGUAACAAUUUUUGUCUUAUCCAUUUUACUCUCUUUACUCUUUUUCUUUUCAAAUUUGCAACGAUCUUGAAUUAGUCAUAACUUAAUUUGCUCCCUUACAAAUGGAUUUUUCUUUACUUUUAUUUUCUUUGUUACGAUGGAUCUUGAAUGAAUUCAUAAAUCAUCUCAUUCAACUCACAUUAAAUUGAUUAGGCUAAAUGAUAAAUAAAUAAAUAAUAAUAAUAAUAAUAAUAAUAAUAAUAAUUAAUAUUAAAAGAAGCAGUAUUUGAACCAACAACUCAUGGGCCUUUUGAUUUUUAGACUAAAUCUAAAACUGGUAGCAACCUUAGUUCAAACAUAUCAAUUCAUCUAAGAUAUUUUAAACACAUGCAAAAUAACUAAACAAUUAAAGACCUGAUCCAUAUUACUACUAAUGAUUUUGAACAUACAUCAAAUAAAAUUUAAAAGCAAAUACAGAACAUUAAACUCAAAAGAAUAAAGGAAAAAAAAUAGAUGAUAAUCAUUUUUCAACUUAAUCCACUACUAAAAAAAUAAAAAAAUAAUGUUUGUGUUAUAAAUGUAUUUAUAUUAUAGUGAAUGUCUAUCAAUAUCUAUCAAGAUCUACUUUGAUAUCUAUUAGGAUUUGAAACAUUCGUCUUUUACUCAGACUAGGAGUAAAUUUCCUCUAUAAAUAGAGGGGUUUUGUUCAUUGUAUUUACAAUCUUAUGAUAUCUCAUCCCUCAAGAGAAGAAGUAAGAAUUACUCUCUCUAUUCUCUCUACUUUUUUUCUUUAUUUUUUCUUGCUUUAUAACACGUUAUCAGCACGAGACUCUGCCAAAUAAGGUGAGAUUAUAAAUUUGAAGGAUUUCAAGGUUAGUAAUUUUUUAUGUUAUCUUUCUUUUGCUAAUACUAAUAUAAUUAUUAUUGGAUUUGAGAAAAAAUAAUUGGUUUGAACCAUUUAUAUUUUAAAUUUAUUCCUCAAGAACAAUAUUAUCAAAAAGGAUAAUAAUAUGUUGGGUCCAAGUCCCAUCGAUUCAUGCCUAAGUCGUCUUUAUAUGGAUCAAAUAUUGAGUUUUAAUAUCAAUACUCCAUAUUUAUGAUAUUGUGAUGGCUAAGGAAAAAUAAUGGGUGUUUGAUGAAAAGUCAUGAAAUUCGACCCAUUGAAUAUGCUUCAUUCCAUGAAGUGAAUGUGGUAGCAAUAUAUGAUAAUUCUGAAAUAUGACAACUUACUUCAUUCUUGAGGUGUUUAUGGUAGCAGUGCUAAUAUGUCUGAAAGAAGACAAGUGAUUAAAUGCACGAAUAUAAGCGUGGAGGAACAAUAUAAUAAUGAUCAUCAAAAGUGACGAUAUUUUCACACGCUUAUAUGAUUAUAAGAUAUGCUAGAGAAAAAAAAUUAUCUACAUCAUAUGUAUGCCUCGAUUUGCUUCUGAAGUAGCAAAAUCUUGAAAGAGGUUAUAAGCUAUCAUAGUUUGAUAGGCUUAAGGCACAAUUAUAUUCCAUUUCUGGGGAAUNNNNNNNNNNNNNNNNNNNNNNNNNNNNNNNNNNNNNNNNNNNNNNNNNNNNNNNNNNNNNNNNNNNNNNNNNNNNNNNNNNNNNNNNNNNNNNNNNCUGAAAUUUAUUCAUGUAAUAGUAAAUAUGAAAUUUACUAAAGAAAAAGUACAUGUCAUGAUAAACUUGGAGUUUACUAGAAUAAAAGUUCAUAAAUUGAUAUGAACGAUUGUGACAUCUCAAAAAUGUGCAUGUAUUAAAGAACUAGAAGAUUCUUCAAGCAUUGUUUAUGUCAUUUGUUCUCAUAUAAGUUGGUUGGACCAACUAAUGUUGGGAUUGAAUUCCUUAAAUCUAGAAAAUAUAAAAGAUGAAUAUGGUCCCGUUCACCUAUCAUGUGAUAUGUUGAAAGAUGCAUCAAUAAGAUGAUCACAUGUACAUUCAUUGUCAACUUAUAGUUUGACAUUCAUAAAGUUGCUUGCUCAAUAAAAUUGAGUUAAGAACAUAAUUUUCAGAUUGUACAAUCAAGAAAGUUAUCUUGAUGAUGAUGGUUUAGCAUUGAAUGCCUUCGAUAAAUAUCUAAACCAUCGCUAAUGAGAACCAAGCUUCAUGUGUUGGUCUGAAAUAUGAUAUGUUGCAUACAAUAAUAAUUAUAUACAUUAGACCAAUAAAUUAAGAUUAUUUCUUCCCCCUCAAUUGGUUCAAGGUCAUGAACCAACUAUUCCAUCUAAAAGUUUUGAUGUGCGGUAUACGAUUAAUGAAUACACCAUGAUGCAUAAAGAUGAAUUUCUCAAAGAAGAUAGAGGAUGUAUGUUAGUUUUUCUAACAUAAGGGGGAGACUAUAAGCGCUAUGAAAUAUGUUAGAAAUUAUCACCAUAUCCUCAUCCAAAAGAUAAUUCAAGUCAAAUGCUGAAAGCAUUUCAUAUUAAGCGCAAGUGCUCUUAUUUUGUGUUCCUAAAGGACAAAUUUUAUGCACGUGUGAAGCGUAGUAGACUGAUUGGUUCCAAAUGAAAUAUUUCUUACAAAAUAAGGAGCAAAUAAUCAUAAUAAGAAGGCAAUGAGCUCCUGAAGAGCCUACGACAUACCACUUCAUGAAACCUUAUGAGAGGUUUAUGUACCUGAAAAUAAUGAAGUAAUGAGAUCUCAAAAUAUUAUGACACAUUGUAAACCGAUACAAAAUGAUAUAUCAUCAAUAUCUUUGACACAAUAUUGGCGCAAAAUUGUGAAAGAUUACGAGGAUCCAAAUUCUACGUUUAUUUAAGCAUGCUGACGUAGAAACAUUUAUCAAAUGACAUGAAAGGAUGUAUUUUGGUAUGCGUAAAACUUAUUUGAUUUGCAGUACAGACACUUGGAUGUCACUAAUGAAAUGUUGAAUAUUGUCACUUGACAAAACUUAUGUGAAUACUUUUAAGGAUUCAAACUGCUUGAAGCGUAUAAAAGUUUCUGGGAAAUUUAUUUAUAAUCCUUAUAUCGUAUAAGCUUAUUGCUUGAACAUCAUUGGAACUCUUGGAGAGUUUUCAAAGCAAUAGAUUAUUUGCUGAAAUUUGAAAUAUAUCGAAUUGGAUUGGUUAUGAAGUAUCAUAUCUUAGUCCAAUUGAUGCACUCAUGUACUUUGCAAAUACUACAAGGCCUAUAGCCUUUUCAGUCAAUUUGUUAGCAAGGUAUAUUUCUGCUCCUACUAUGAGACAUCGAAAUGGGAUAAAACACAUGAGUUUAUUUAUUUCUAAAAAAUUGCAGUCCCGAUCUUAUUGGUCAUGCUGAUGUUGGGUACUUAUUUGAUCCGCAUAAAGCUUGAUCUCAAAUAGGCUAUGUGUUCAUAUAUGGUGGUACUGUCAUAUCUUGAAGAUAUAAAAAACAGUCUAUCAUAGCUACUUCAUCGAAUCAUGCUGAGAUAAUAGUUAUUCAUAAAACAAGACGAGAAUGUGUAUGGUUGAGGUCCAUGAUACAUCUCAUUCGAGAAAAAUAUAGUGUGAAAUAUGAAAAUCUACCCACAAUUUUAUACAGAGAUAAUUCAGCAUACAUAGCACAACUUAAGGGAGGAUUCAUAAAUGGAGAUAGAACGAAGCACAUUUUGCCAAAGCUUUUCUACAUACAUGAGCUACAAAAGAAUGAUGAUAUUAACGUGCAACAGAUUCGUUCAACUGACAAUGUGACUGAUUUAUUCAUCAAAACUUCUUCAAUUGCAACUUUCAAGAAGAUGUUGCACAAGAUCGAGAUGCAAAGGUCAAGGAUGUUCUCAUUAGGGAGAGUUAAUACGCGCUGUACUCUUUUUCCCUUACGAGGUUUUAUCCCACUGGGUUUCCCUUGUAAGGUUUUUAAUGAGACAGCCGAAAUGCGUAUUAUUAGAGAUAUGUACACUUUUUCCUUCACUAGAUUUUUUUUCCUACUGGGUUUUUUCUAGUAAGGUUUUAACGAGGCACAUUAUCUAUCAAUUAGACAUUCAAGGGGGGGUGUUAUAAAUGUAUUUACAUUAUAGUGAAUGUCUAUCAAGAUCUACUUUGAUAUCUAUUAGGAUAUGAAGCAUUCAUCUUUUACUCAGACUAGGAGUAAAUUUUCCCUAUAAAUAGAGGGGUUUUGUUCAUUGUAUUUAUAAUCUUAUGAUCUCUCAUGCCUCAAGAGAAGAAAUAAGAAUUACUCUCUCUAUUCUUUCUACUCUUCUUCUUUAUUCUUUCUUUUUUUAUAACAGUUUGGUAUUUAAACAAUAACCUACUAGAUCUUUUCUCUUUUCAUAUAUCUAUCCGCUGCUUUUUUUUUUUGCUAUUAUAUAUUUUAAAAAAUACUUCUCUUUUUUUUUCUUGAUUCGUUUUGAUCUCCAUCUCCUCCUGUUCUUCACUUUUCUUUUCUAUGCGUUAUUCUUCUCUAUUUCGAAUUUAACUUGACAGUAUAUACAUAAACAAUUAGUAAUUUAAUAUCCAACACAUAAUAACAUAUACAUUAUCCAAAUAAAUCAACAACACAUUAUGAAUAGUAUAUGAAAAUUACUUAAACAAAUUUAUUCAUAUUCUUGAUUUGUAAUGAAGUUUAUGCAAUAAAUUAUAUAGGAUCAAAAUAAAAUCUGUGUUAAGUUGAAAAGAAACACGAAAUCGUGACCGGAAUCCUCAAGCGAAAUUUUAAAAUUUUGAAUCUCUACGCUUUCUCUUCUUUAUUUUUAUUUUUAUUUUUAUUUUUGCUCUCUGAUUUUUUGUCUGAUACAGUGUAUAGUGUGAGUGUGCGUUUGUUUUUCUCUGGGAGGGUGAGAGUUCUUUAAGUAGAGGAAUUUUGGGGGGAACGAUUGUUUUUUAGGGGGAAUCAUUCAUCAACAAAUAAGGGAGAGGGGAUAUGUAAAAUUCAAAAUUUUCUUCUUCUUUUUUAAUUAUAGAAAAUAAUAGUAAUAAUAAUAAAUAAAUAUAAUAAUAAUAAAUAAAAAUAAAUAAAUUAAAUANNNNNNNNNNNNNNNNNNNNNNNNNNNNNNNNNNNNNNNNNNNNNNNNNNNNNNNNNNNNNNNNNNNNNNNNNNNNNNNNNNNNNNNNNNNNNNNNNNNNNNNNNNNNNNNNNNNNNNNNNNNNNNNNNNNNNNNNNNNNNNNNNNNNNNNNNNNNNNNNNNNNNNNNNNNNNNNNNNNNNNNNNNNNNNNNNNNNNNNNNNNNNNNNNNNNNNNNNNNNNNNNNNNNNNNNNNNNNNNNNNNNNNNNNNNNNNNNNNNNNNNNNNNNNNNNNNNNNNNNNNNNNNNNNNNNNNNNNNNNNNNNNNNNNNNNNNNNNNNNNNNNNNNAUUUUUAAAAUUAGAAUAACAAUAAAAAUAAAAUAUCUCAAAGUUAACUUUAUUUAAUUAUUUAUUUUUUAACUAAAAAUUUAUUAAAAUAAAAAUGAAAGUCGAAAUAAUAUAUGAUUAAAUAUAUAAAUAUAAAAUAUUUAAUAUCGAUAAACAAGUUAAAAUUUAGGGUGGAUCAAAAAUCACGUGUCUACACAUAGAGCCGUUUCUCGGAAAGAGCUUAAAUAUUAUCUUAGAUAGCCUAUAGAGGAUCGUAGAGCAAGAAUCAACACGUUGGAUUGGUGGAAGAAUAAUGAAAGACAGUAUCCUGUACUUUCAAGAUUAGCUAGAGAUAGAUUGAAUGUUUCAAUGUCAACUGUUGCAUCAGAAAGCGCCUUUAGUCAAGGAUGAAAGCAGUUUGGAGAUAACUGACACUCAUUAAGAAGCAAUGUCAAGAAUGUUCUAGUUUACCUUAAAGACUUAAUUAAAGCGGAACGAAGAAAUCAACGAAUGGAGGUGGAGCCAACAGUUGAACAAAAUCUUGAAGAAAUUAUGACUUCAAGGGAGAACUCGGCACAAUCAAGUUCAAUGCACGGCUUUGGCCCAAUUGAUUUCGACACUCCUUAGACAAUUUUCAUUAAUAUUAACAUGAAUGAGUUGAAAAAAGUGAUUAAAAUUUGUAGAAUUUUCAAUUAAUCAUUUAAUCUAGGAAAAAGGCAUAAAUACCCCCUGAACUUUAUGUCAAAACUCACUUUAACACUUUAACUUUAUCGGUAAUUAUUUACCACCCUAAACAACUUUCACGUGAAUUAUAUUACCCUCUUAAGGGUUGAUGUGACAAAAAAAAUAAAAAUAAAAAUAAAGCACGUUUUGAAUUAAAAAAGUAAAAAAGAAAAAAAAAAGUGGGCACAUUUUUAAAUUUUCAGCCAUUAAUAUUUCUUCUUCUUCAUACCCCAUCACCCCCUCUCUUCUUUUUCCUCAAACCCUACUACCCCCUCUCUUCUAAUUCCUCUAUUUCUUUUUUUUUUCACUCCUAUCAACCAUUUUCAAUACAUAUCUAAAUAUUUUCAUGUGAAUUUUUAUAAUAACAUCAUCUUCUUACACAAAAAUCUUCAAAAAAAUGCAAUUUAUUUCAGCAAAAUUAGUUUUUCUUAAUAGUUGUCUCAUUCUUAUUUUGAUUGAACAAAUUAAAACAAAAAUUAAAUUUCAACAAUAUAAAUUUACAUAUCAAGAAAAGGAUGAGGUGGUGGUCGGAUUGAACGUUUUGUUCUUGUUAUUGUACAUCCAUACUUUGUUUUAAAAAAUGAUCCUCAAAUAUAAAAAAAUAUUGGGAGGGGGGGGGGGAGACUUGGGGGCCGGAGGGAGGGACCCGUGCUAAGCCAGUACCCAAACUCAAGUAAUUUGAUAUUUUAUGAAUAACAUGAUUUAAUAUAUAUAAAUAUAUAUAUAUAUAUAUACAUAUAUAUAUAUAUAUAUAUAUAAAUAGAGAGAGAGAGAGAGAGAGAAUUAUCUUUUAAUUUAUUUUUUUUCCUGGCUUGCGUGGUAAUGAUGUGGCAGCGAUGUGGCACUGACUUGGGGGCUAGUGUAUUAAAUUCUUUAUUAUGAGAGUGGAAUUAAAUUUUUGGGGUGGUAUAUAAUUCAUGGAAAAGUUGUUUAGGGGGUAAAUAAUUACCGAUAAAGUUAAAGUGCUAAAGUAAAUUUUGUCGACAAGUUCAGAGAAAAAACUAUGUCUUUUCCCUUUAAUCUAUUGAAUUUUUUAUAUUUCAUUUUAAGUGAGAUGUAAUUGCAAUUUUGUCACUGAACCAUUUUGCAAUCAAUCAAAUACAAGAUUCAUUCACUCUUUACAUAUUUUUUUCAUUUAAAUUGAAUAUCUAAUUUGAAUUAAAUUAUUUUAAUAUAUUACCAUCAAACUUUACAUAAACAUAACAAACAUAUAUACAUUAAAAAAUUAAAAAAUAAUAUUAACAAAUAUUACUUAAAUUACUAGUAUUGACAUAUAAAAAUUUUGGAUAAAUUUAGCUUUUAAGUAGUGUAUAUUAAUAUUUGAAUAUAUAUUCAAGUAUUAUUAUAUUAAGUAGUAUUUAUUGUAUGUAUAUAUGUGUGUAUAUUUUCUAAACUAGUAUAGUAUGUAAUGUAUAUAUGUUGUCUGCAUAUUUUUUAAAGUAGUAUAAUAUGUAAUGCAAUAUAUGUUGUAUGUAUAUUGUUCAAAGUAGUAUUUAAAUUUUUAAGUAGUAUACAUUGUAUAUAUGUGUAUAUAUUUUCUAAUACAGUAUAUAUUGAAUGUAUACAUGUGUGUAUGUUUUCUAAAGUAGUACAAUAUAUAAUGUAUAUUGUUUCAAGUAUUAUUUUAAGUAGUACAUAUUAAAUGUAUAUUGUUUCAAGUAGUAUAUAUUGUAUGUAUAUUGUUUCAAGUAUUAUUUUGUAGUAGUAUAUAUUCGAUGUAUAUAUAUGUAUAUGUUUUCUAAAGUAGUAUAAUAUCUAAUGUGUAUAUUGUUUCAAGUAGUAUUUAUUAUACGUGUAUAUGAGUGUAUGUUUUCUAAAGUAGUAUAAAAUGUAAUGUAUAUAUGUUAUAUGUAUAUUAUUUCAAGUAGUAUUUUACAUAGUAUAUAUUGAAUGUUUAUUAUUUCAAGUAGUAUAUAUUGUAUUUAUAUUGUUUCAAGUAGUAUUUUAAGUAGUAUAUAUUGAAUGUAUACUUGUUUCAAGUAGUAUUUUAAGUUGUAUAUAACUAUAUAUUGUAUGUAUAUUUGUGUGUAUAUUUUCUAGUAGUAUAAUAAAUAAUGUAUAUAUGUUUUCAAGUAAUUAGUAUAUAUUGAAUGUAUAUUGUUUCUAGUAGUAUUUCAAGUAGUAUAUAUUACAUGUAUAUUUGUAUAUAUAUGUUUUCAAAUGUACCAAUAUAUAUAAUGUAUAUAAGUUGUAUGAAUAUUAUUUCAAGUAGUAUUUUAAGUAGUAUAUGUUGAAUGUUCAUAUGUGUGUAUAUUUUUUAAAGUAGAUAUUAAAUGUAUAUGUGUGUAUAUUUUCUAAAGUAGUAUAAUAUGUAAUGUAUAUAUAUUGUAUGUUUAUUGUUUAAAGUAUUUAGCAGUAUACUUUAAUUUAGGCGAUCGGAUCGGACCAUACCCGAGUCCGAUAAAAAAAUGGGCUAGUGUCGGAUUGGGUCGGACCGACCUGGUUGACAAUCUUAGCUAGAGGAAUGUAACGAAGGUAGUGUAAAGCGUCGUUGAAACAUACUUUACAUGGACAGGUUAAUGGGCAUUCAAGAUGACCUGGCUAGUGAUGUCCCAUUGCACUUUGGGAGGACUACUUGCAUAAGCCGUUCAAGUGGUCGUACUUACAUCAUAAUUUGUGACAUUGGUCUACGUCAUGUGACCCCCUACAUAACUCUUAAACAAAAAGUUUGUAUGUCUUGUACACUUAUUUUGGUGUAACUUUUUUUUGUUUAACAAAAUUUUCGGGUAUUUUAUGCACUUACAUUAGUGCAAUUUCCUUUUUAUUUAACUAGUUACUCGGUAUGUGUGUCAAAUCUUAAAUCUAAUUGUCCUUGGUGCCUUGAAUUAAAAUUUAUACAUCAUUAUUGUAACACUACUACACAUGAAAGAAUAGUUAUGUGGAUAAUAAGCUUAGAUCAUGCGAGAUUGGACCAUUUUUAAUACUAUAAUAUAUUGUUCUUUAAUUCGAACACUUUUACGGUGAACUUUAACCUACAACUUAUUACAACAGUAUAUAUUUGAAUAAAAAUUAUUUUUUAUAUUUAUACCGUGUAUAUAUUGAAUCCCCUUAAUUUUUUCAUAUGUUUUGAAUCUCCAUAGUGAAACUUGGCUUGGCUUCACCAAGUUAACAUAGAGUCGAUUAUUCUUAAUUAUAAGAACCAAGAAACAUCUAAGGAUCAUGUAUAUUAAAAAAAAGAAAAUCAACAAAUUAUCAUAAAUUGUAUACGAUCUGCAUCUUCAUCCAACAAACUUGUCACAAACCAGAGCACAAUUCUAUGUUCAUAGUGAUCAAUUGUUGUAUCAUGCUUGGAUGAAUUUUUUUUACGUGACUUUAAACUAAAAUUCAAAAGCCAAAAGUAUGUAGCAACCUACCAACUUUUGGCUUUUGGCUUUUGGGUGGUAGCUUUUUUUUUUUUUUUUUUUUUUUUUUUUUUUUUGGUACUUUUUAAGCCUAAAGUAAAGUGUUUAAAAGCACUUUUUGUCUUUGUCAAACAUUUCCAAAAAUUAAAAAAAAAUAUGCUUAAAAGUCAAAACACUUAAAAAUAAAGUCAAUUCCAAUAGCCUUUCAAUUUAAACCCACAAAAUAGGAUCUAAAAAAAAAAUAGGGUGUACGCAGACCUCCUACCUUAAAGGUAGAGAGGUUGUUUUAGAUAGACCCUCAGAAUUUAGUUAUAAGAGCAUAACUAGGAUAGUUUUGCUUUUUAAUGUAAUGCAAGAAAGUAACUGUGAUAGAGAAUGUUAAUCCAGAAGAUCGAUUCUUGAGGAAGAAGAUAACCAGUUCAGGGAAUUGAUCUGAGAAUUUGGUUGUAAUUGAACUGAGAAUUAGAGAAAAGUGAGAAAAAAUGAUUUCUUAUUACCCAAUGAAUGAAUGAUUACAUCAAUGCUACUUGGUUUUAUAGCUAAUAAUUGCAGCUAACAACUAUAACUAACUUUGUAAUCGAGUAACUAACUUUGUGACUUUGAGCUACAGUAAUAACUGUAGUGAAUAGUAAAAACAAAAUUUUGAAUUCUAAUACAAUUUAACUACGUUUAACUAACUUCUAACUAAUUUGUUGAUUCUCCGUUGCGCUUCAUUUUGUAUCAAUAUCCCUCCCUAAAGAACAUCCUUGUCCUCAAGGAUUAAAGGAAGGGAACCUCAAUAGUAACUCAGAAGUCUAUUCCCGUGUAGCCUGUGUUGCAUCGAUCCUAGUCCACUGCAUAAAGACCUGUUCUACAGCCUUGUUUCCUUUUUUGACCAAGCUCUCAUCUAACAUCACUUCCGGAGUAAGACAAUAAAGGCUAGAGAAAUGUAUGAUAGGAGAAUGAGUUAUACUCAAAGGUAAAGCAUGACACCUCUUCAGUUGAGAGACAUGGAAGGUCGGGUGAAUGAGAACAUCACUAGGCAGUAAGAGCCUAUAGAAAAUAGCUCCUAUGUUGGUUUUUACCAUAUAAGAGUCAUAACAUUUAGCAACAAGCUUGUUAAAAGGCUUGGAAGCUACUGAAACUUGUCUGUAAGGCUGCAAUUUCAAGUUAACCCAACCACCUAUUUCAAAGGACCUGUCGGAUCUAUGUUUGUUGGCACUGUCUUGCAUUCUUUGUUGAGCCCUGACAAUAUGAAACUUCAGCAACUGAAUAACAACCUCCUUGUCCUUCAAACUUCUAUUUACCAUCUUCAUAGCACUUUCACCCAUUAAGUAAGGUAAAUGAAUGAGACGUUUUUUAUCAUAUAAGGCUUCAUAAGGUGUGCAGUAGCAUUGUACCACCACUCAGAUAGGAAAAGAUAAUUGGCCCAUUCUCUAGGGAAACCAGAGCAAAAACAUCUCAAGUAAGUCUCUAAGGUCCUGUUGACCACCUCAGUUUGGUCAUCACUCUGAAGAUAGUGAGCAGUAGAUCUCUGAAGUGUACACCUUGCAAGGUGAAUAAUCCUUGGCAAAAGUAUGUAAGAAGAUAGUAUAUCUGUUACUAGUCAUGGUGACAGGCAAUUCAUGUAGCUUAAAAAUAUUAUCUAUAAAGCAUUUAGCAACUAAUUAAGCUGUGUAUGGGUGUUGCAGACUUAAGAAAUGACUGCAUUUGGUGAGCCUUCCUACUACCACCAAGAUGACAUCUUUAACUCUGAGACUUAGACAGACCUUCAAUGAAAUCCAAGCAAAUAUCAAUCCUUACAUCUUUAGAAUAGGUAGAGGUUGCAAAUACCCUGGAGACACAGUUGCAUCAUACUUGUGUCUUUCACAUAUAUCAUACUAAUUUAUGAACCUUCUCAUAUUUGUAUUAAGUGUUUUCCAGUAGAAUAGGGAUUGUAACCUCCAUAUAGUAGCAUCCAUACCUGAGUGUCCAACUUGUAGAGUACUAUGUCAUAAAGAAAUAAUUAUAUCAGUCUUCAACUAUUGAUCAUUAUUUAUAACUAGUUUGCCCUUCUAUCUAAGCGGACCGCUACACUAAGUGUAAGACUUGAAAGGUUGUGCCUGAAUCUUUCAGAUAAUAACCUGUAAUGCAGGAUCCAUCUCCUAAGAUGUCUUAAUCUUCAUGUAAAGCUCAUUAUGUGGAGUGAUUAAGGAGAUGGCUAGUAGUUCAGCAUCAGGCAUUCUUGACAAUCCAUCAGCAACACUAUUCUCAAAGCCCUUUUUAUACUCAAUAGUAAAAUCAAAAGCCAUUAAUUUUGAUAUACCACCAAUCUAGAAAUUUCUAUGAAUUGGUUGAUCAAGUAAGUGUUUCAAAUCCUUCUAGUCAGUUCUCAGUAUAAAGUGGUUGUGCAACAAGUAGUGUUACCAUUUGUUAACUGUAAAAAUGAAAGCAAGCAAUUCUCUGUCAUAGACAAACAUAACUUGAUGUUUAGGAGUCAAGGACUUGCUUAUGUAACCAAUAGGGUGUCCUUGUUGCAUUAACACAACUCUAAUUCCUUUACCACUAGCAUCUGUCUCCACAACAAAAGAUAAGGAAUAGUUAGGCAAGGCUAGCACAGGUGUAGAAAUUAGUGCUUGUUUUAGUGUAUUAAAAACCUCAUAAGCUUACUCAGACCAGUGAAACCCUUCCUUCUUCAACAAAUCAUGAAGGGAUCUGAAUAUAAUCCCAAAACCAUAUAUAAACCUUUUGUAGUAGCCUGCAAAGCCUAAGAAUCCUCUAAACUGUUUGAGAUUAGAAGGCACAGGCCAUUGUUGAACAAAUAUAAUCUUUCUAAGAUAAGUUGAGACACCUUCUGCACUAAUGAAAUGGCCUAAAUACUCUACCUUAGCCACUCCAAAGACACACUUAGACAUCUUAGCAUACAAUUGGUACUUCUUUAUUAAUUCAAACACUGCUUGAACAUGAAUCAAAUGAUCAAUCAAGGAUUUGUCAUAGAUUGUCAUCAAAGAACGCCAAUACGGAAUUUCUUAAUUAAGGUUUGAGAACUGCAUUCAUAAGUCCUUGUCAGGAAGAUGGAGCAUUGGUUAAACCAAAAGGCAUAACCAAAAACUCAUAAUGGCAUUUAUGAGUUUUGAAAGUUGUCUUAUGAGUGUCUUCUUUAACCAUUCUCAACUGAUGAUACCCUGUCCUAAGAUUAAUCUUUGAGAAUAUAAUGACACCCCCUAAUUCAUCCAACAAGUCUUCAAUCAUAGUAAUUGGGAAUUUAUUUUUAAUAGUCAACACAAAGUUUUCAAAACCCAUCUUUUUUUCCUACCAACACCACAUAAGAAACAUAUGGGCUAGAACUAUGUUGAAUAACUCCCUGAUCCAUCAUCUCCUAUACCAGUCUCUCAAUAAUAUCCUUCCUAAGUGUAGGAUAUCUAUUAGGUCUCUUACUAACUGGAAUUGUUGAUUCCAUCAAUGAAUUCUGUAAUCAAAUGCACCUCUAUAAGGUGGUAAGUUGCUAGCCAACUCAUAAAUACAAGAAAAUUGUUCCAAUAAAAGUUUCAUUUCUAGUAACAAGUUAGUACCUGGAGUAACUUGAAUACUUAGUACCUGGAGUAACUUGAAUACUGCAGCAAUGUAUUUCUUUUACUACAGGCUUGAUCAAUGACAUCAUGAAUAUUUGAGCUUCUUGUUCUUCCUACUUGAUGAGGGACUUAGCUUUAACUGUUUUUAUGUGUACUCCAGUUCCUCUUAACACAUGUUUCUUUCCUUAAUACAUGAAUACAAUGGACCUAUUCUGAAAGUCAAAUAGGAUUCUCCCAAUGUACUUAACCACUGAACCCCCAAUAAAAUGUCAACAUUUUCUAGAGGUAAGAUCAGGAAAUCAGAUGAAAAUGUAGUGCCUUGUAAAAACCAUGCGAGGUUCUUAGAUACUGAUGUAGUCUGCACUGUUCUAUCAUCUGUUACACUAAUAUAUUGGUCAUGGAUAAGAGAAGCUUUACAUUACAAUCUUGUGGCUACAUAUUGAUCAAUAAAGUUGUGUGUGCUUCCUAGGUCAAUUAAGACCUACAAAGGCCCUUUUUAUGAUAUCCUGUGACCCUAAGGGUUUGAUAGCCUGUCACUUCUGUAAAAACUUGUAAUGAUAUGGCCAUGAACUCAUCUGAUUCACUAGUCACAAUAGGAAUUGAUUCAUGCACUUUAGCUGACUCCAUGUCUCGUUCUUCUACUUCUUCUACCUCUACCAUAUACAAAUGCUUGUUACUUCUAUAGUUGUGCCCCUGUACAUAUUUCCCAUCACAGAAAAAACACAGGCCUAUUGCUUUUUUUCUCAUUCUUUUUACUUGGAAAUUUGUUAUCUUUAAUUUGCUUUUGUUCAAAAGGUUUGUUAUACGUGAAAUUGGAUGCAAGAUUGUAACAAGUUUUCUGAGUAUACACAGGUUUAACCACUGCAGGAGUAGGUAAUAAUCCACUAUUACUCUUAUAAGGUACCUUCAAACCCAUGACUGAGUUUGUGCCGCAAGCACCUCUUGUUGAAGCCUAGCUAUCUUAUAAGUCUGCAUCAAUGUUUUAGGACCUUGUAUUUUAAAAGCCUUAUGUAGUGCUGGAAUUAAACCCCCUAAGAAGCAACUGAUAGCAUUUUCAUUAAUGUUUUAGGACCCUGUAUUUUAAAAGCCUUAUUUAGUGCUGGAAUUAAAACCCCUAAGAAGCAACUGAAAGCAUUUUCAUUUGACAAGUUAACCCUAGUCCACAGUUUAUCAAAUUUAGCCUAAUACUUCCUUAAGCUACCAGUUUGUCUCAAAUUUUGACAAGUUAACCUUAGUCAACAGUUAAUCAAAUUUAGCCUAAUACUUCCUUACGCUACCAGUUUGUCUCAAGUUCUUUAGGGCUUCCAUUGGAUCCUCAAAUUCAUCCCUAAACCACUCAUUUAGGGCUAUGACAUAUUCAGUCCAAGUAGGAUCCACUACAAAAUUCCUGAAUCUGAUAUAUGAUCUGUGCCAGGCUAUAGCCUCAUCAUCAAAAUGGAUGGAUGCUAUCUUAACCCUCUGCUCAAAAGGUACUUCAUCCUUGGAAAAAAACUCGACAUUGUAUAACCAAGUUCUUAAAUUUCAGCUUGAAAAUCUAGGAAAUUCAAGUCGAGAAUACUUUGUGAAGUGAUUACGCAGUGAAUUCGAGAUGUGAUGACCUUCUUUUAGCCUUUCCUCUUGUUGCAGCUCCACUGAACAAGCCAUUUCAUUAGUGGAUUCUGCUCUAAUUUGUUCUCUUUCUUUUCCUUUGUGUCAUUAAUCCCAAUGCUUCAAGAAUCUCCAACAAUUCUUUAUCAAUUUGUUGGUUUUUUGCAUCCAUACUUAACUGUUGCAGUUGAUCUUGAAUUUCUUAAAUUUUUAUCAAUUUGUCAUUCAUUUCUUCCACAGGCUUAUCUUGACCCUUACUUCGCACCAUUAUCAGUCCAAGAACCUACUAGCUUUGAUAACACUUGAUGCAAAGAAUGUUAAUCCAGGAGAUCCAUUCUCGAGGAAGAUGAUAACUGGUUCAGGAAAUUAAUCCGAGAAUUUGGUGGUAACUGAACUGAGAAUUUGAGAAAAUAGAGAAAAACUGAUUGUUAUUAUCCAAUGAAUGAAUGAUUACAUCAAUACUAUUUGACUCUAUAGCUAACAGUUGCAGCUGACAAGUAUAACUAACACUGUAAUCGAGUUACUAACUUUGUGACAUUGAGCUACAUUAAUAACUGCAAUGGACAGUAAAAACAGAAUUUUGAAUUCUAAUACAAUUUAACUACGUUUAACUAACUUCUAACUAAUUUGAUGAUUCCCAGCUGAGCUUCAUUUAAUCUUCAUUUUUCAAACUCAUAUCAGAAUGUUAAAAAUAAAAAAAAAAUCAAUGUCAAUAAAAGCAUAUAAAAUGAUCCCAAACAGUCGUAGGAGACUAUGAAUGGUCUAAUUAUUAGAGAAAACACAUUUUGCAAGACAGUCAAAAUAUGAUUAUUGCAAAGUGUUCUUCGCUGAUACAAAGAUCAAUGUACUGCAAACCUUACAAAAAGGAAAACUGCUUAAGCAAACUUGACUCAUUGGAGCUGCUAGCUAUCGCAACAUAUUCUCUGGAAACCGCCCAUAGUAUUAAUCUUCGCCAUCAUCUGCAACAAAAGUUCCAGUGACAUUAGGACAACUACAAAUACAAGAGUCAAAAAAAAGAACUACAAAUAGACUACUGACACAACAUAAUAGAAAGUCACUCCAAACAUAAUACCGCCAUGAAGAGUAACUUCCAGAAUGCGCACACCUUACAGCAUACUAAUACAAAUAUGAAGCACAAACUUGAUUCUAUUUCAUGAUCGAAUAGGGGCAACUCAUCAGCUUUGUUGAGCCUUUGGGCACAAACUUGAUUCUAUUUCAUGAUUGAAUAGGGGCAACUCAUCAGCUUUGUUGAGCCUUUGGUAUUGUAGUAUGCUCUUACUUCCCCCUUUUUUUUUUAUAACCGUGGUGUGUGAACUAACUUGGCGUGCAGCUUGACUAAUUUCACGUGGUACCUAGUACCUACUACCUCCCACCAGCAUAGGUAUCAAGUAACUCUGUCCACCAAGGUUUGGACAAAUGAGAAAAAAUCACCUAGUGUUUUCUUUUCUGCUGGAACUUGAACCUGAAACCUUACCUCAUGGUUCUACUCUUCCUACAUAGUUUCUAAAAGGGCUUUCAUGACUAAAGAUAAAAAUUUCUCUCGACAUUUCAAUGCAUUGCUUAUCCAAAUGUUCCCAUCCAUUUUAUUUUAUUUUUGACCAAGUAAAAAAUGGAAUUUCAACAUUUUGAUAAGCAAUAGGCUUGUGACAUUUAUGUCUAAAAUGUUCAAAAUUCAUUAGAAUGAAAAAAGGGAGAACACAUUAACAGUGCUAAUUUGUUCUUGCUUUUGCAAAUUACAACUAUGGAGGACUUUUACUCAGCGCUCAGCACUCAGCAGCGCUGGUUACAUUACUAUUUCUUUCCUGAUGCUUAUACUGCUAUUUGAAUACACCUGCAUACAAGUGGUUUGUUGACAUAUUUUAAUAAUAAGAACCAGUAUUUGGAUAGCAUUAGUCUAUCUUAAACCGUAUCUUAAUCUCGAGGACUAAACCCAAACCAUUAGGCUACACUUCAAUGUUCAUCAGGGAGGAACAUCAAGAAAUCAGCAUUCCAGUCUCCUCACUGUUCUUGAACCCACAUAGCUUUGAGAAAUAAUUGAGUUUAUUCAACAACCUCAAAUUCCUCAAGGCCAAAUCACGUGGCAAAUUAUUUAGCACUUUUUAGAAGUCAACCAAAAAAAUUAGGAUUUCUUAUCACAUGUUUCCUAGUGACUUCACUUUUUGGAAUUAUACUAGUCCAAAAUUUCACUUUUUGGAAUUUUACACGCCCCUAUGUCAAUUUAUGUGGUUCCUUUUUACUUUAUCCCAAAACAACAACAUACCAACUGUGAUCCCAGAAGUGGAGCCUGAGCAGGGUAGGGUGGGAUGCACACAGACCAUACCUUUUGUGGGGUAGAGAGGUUGUUUCUGAUGGAUCAAAACAAAUGACAUAUUUCUGUACUUAGAAAUAAUUUAACUUUGAACUAUUUUAUAACCUUAAUGAGGUUAUAUAUAUUCACAAAAGGCCUAUCACUGGUCUAGACAACAAGUUUUAAAAUAUCUUUCUUAAACUUGAAUCCCAAUCAAACAUCGCCACAUAAAUUAGGAUGGAGGGAGAAUUAGACACCAAACAUUUGACUUCAAUGACAUUUCUUCGAAAUAUACGUUUCUGACCUAAAAUACAAAUGUAAAGCUCAUGGAUCUCAAAUCAUCAUUAAAAUAUUUAAAGAGGCCAAACUAACAACCUUGCACAUACUUACGCAGAAUUUAUUUUGGAGCAUGAGAGAGAAGCGAGCAGGUACCUUGGAAGAACUUUUCCAAGUUCACCAAAUCUUUACCUUGUACAUGUGAUGUUUAUUGGCCUCAAAAUAUUUUGAGAUUGAUUACUCUCCAAUCACAACUCUUGAGUUUCUCAAAUUUGUUUAUAGGCUUGCCUUUCAUGUCAAAUUACACUAACGUAAAAUCAACACUAACUUAUAAAAUACUUUUUAGGACUUUAUAAGUCCUGUAUUGUCAUGCUUAAUGCCGGUAAGGGUAAACAACGUAUUUAUAAUGAUUUGUCUCUCCCAACAUUAUCAUAAGAGUCAAUCGUUUCUUGAAUCAAAAUUUUAUUGCAAAGAGUAGACACAUUUUUCUGCUUUUUUUUUUUUUUUUUUAACAUGUACAUAAUAUACAUGAAGUUACUCUUAUUUUGGACCUUGUUUGCAUAAUUUUUUAUCCCUUGCUUUGUUAACUAAAAUUUGUCCAAUCAUAGCUGGAAAAAGUAAGGCAAAAUACAUAAAUGACACCUGAAUUGUCCACAGCGACUCUUAACUCCAACUAACCUAGCAACCAACUAAGCACCUCUAGUCCUCCAAAAUGUGCCUCAUAAAUGCCCGACUCUAAUAGGCUUUAUGUGUGAAUUACAAAUGCACUAACAUAUUUAAUUGGGCCAAUAAUUUGAGUAUACAUGUCAGAGGGGUAAAAAGUAGAUUAAAAAAGUCCUCUAAAAUUAUACUUAAAAAUAAAUAGAUAAAUAAAGAAAGAAAGAAAAGUAAAAGAAAAUCACCUUCCAUGUUCUUCUAACCCCAGGCCCAACCCCUUCACCAUCUUUGCUCCUAUCCAUUCCCCCGGAUUGUUUUCCCCUCCCUUGUCCUUUCACUUCUUCUCCUUCCAUUCUCGUUUUUUUUAAAAAAAAUUACUCUAAAUCAUCAUAAUACCCCCUCCACCUCCCAUUUUCAUUUUCUUCCUCUCCCUUCUUCACUUAUUUUUUGACAAAACUAUUUCCCAAUUUGUGAAUAAACAUUAAUAACAUGCAUCUAUGCUAACAAUUACUAUAUAGAAUGGGUACUGCAAUUCUACCAUAAUUUAGAAAAGGAUUUGGAUUUUUCAAUAGUGAAGGGGGAAGUAAUUGCUUUGUCGAGAAAAUUAAUCAACGCUACGAUCUUUGAUAAUGUUGAUGACCAAGUCACCCAUACUUUUACAAGAAUUCCAAAUGAGGCAAAUGUUGAAAUAGAUACCAUUUGGUUUCUUUUUGGUAUAGAUUGGAUGUAUUAUGGUUUCAGAGCAAGACAAAAAUAUGUUGCCAAACCCACCCUUGCUUUUUUCAAUACUAAGUUAUUACCUAGUUCCCUCAAUUUAAAAAUUACACUCCAAGGGUACUUUUACUCUAUUUCAUCUAUAAUAGAGUGCUUAUCAAUGUUGACAGAAAUAGUAAUAACAUUCAAAGUUGUGUAAAUUUGACUCGAAUGUUCGUAGCAUUUUCUCCCCUUUUGCAAUCACGAUAUUAGAUAGGGAUGUCGAAGUAAAACCAACUCCAAAAUUGUAUAUUAUUGUUUUUUUUCGUUUCAAAAAAAAAAAAACUAAUGGUCCAAAGAGGCAAGAAGGGGAGAAAGAAGCCCAAGAUAGGAGAGGAGGCAUCAACUGAAAGUUGCCUUGUAUGAUGAGACGAAUAAACCAACAGAUGGAGACUUUGAAUAGAACUUUGAUUAGAUGAGGGAAUGAUUUGAUAGGGUAGAGGAGCGGUUGGGAAAAGUUGAGGAAAGAAUUGAUCAAGAUUAACAAGAUAGAGCACAUCCAAAUGAAUGAUUAUAUGAGAGAAAUGGGCAAAAAAUGGGAACUUUAGAUUUUCCUGAAUAUCCUCUUUUUCUUUGGUCUUAUCCAUCCACCACCCUAUUCCUAGGUUCAACAAUGUUGCUGACUUCAUGAACCAAAGGUCCUCUACCUACUUUGGUACCACUAUCAGACCCACCACAUGUGCCCGGUGGCAGUUGUGUCUGAUCCUUUCACCACACAUAGUAACAAUAUAUUUGUUGGUUUAGCUGAUUUGACAAAUGUUGCAGUCAUAUACAUAGACCUUUCUAGCGUGUUUCCCCUUCCAAUAAAGGAGUAGAAAUUCAAAAAAUAGAGGGCAUCAAACAAAGAAAACAAAGAAGAAGUCAAAAUGGAUGGCAAAUGAAAGGGAAUUGUGACGGAGGAACAAAACUCAUCUAGAUCGAUAAUGAUAUGUAUCAGGCUAAUUCUAAUUCUUCUGAGAGGAGAGACAGAUAGGGCAUAGUUGGUUGUCUCUCACUGGAGAAUAAAGUGGCUAAGCAUGGAGAACAUUUAUAUUUUUCGGUGUUGAUAAGAUAUUUUUAUAAAGUAACUAACUCAAUUGGAAUUGUGAAUUCAAAUUUAUAAUGGAACGGAGUUCUAUUGAUAACAACCAAUGAUUACAAUCAACGAAUAAGGAAACACUAAGCUAUACUUCACUAUGAAUCUGCAACUUCCACCAUGGAUACAUGUAGUAAAGCUUAGAAUGAAGUAAUGAAGGAGAAGAUAGAAUAGAAGAGAGAGAAGAAG
RNAcentral lists this long non-coding RNA (63310 nucleotides) under Capsicum annuum. RNAcentral describes it as "long non-coding RNA (CANN_LNC015335)". The stretch from base 30655 to 30768 matches the Rfam family "U5 spliceosomal RNA". The record is from RNAcentral. Lineage: Eukaryota; Viridiplantae; Streptophyta; Magnoliopsida; Solanales; Solanaceae.